RNAcentral lists this long non-coding RNA (68915 nucleotides) under Populus trichocarpa (black cottonwood). Lineage: Eukaryota; Viridiplantae; Streptophyta; Magnoliopsida; Malpighiales; Salicaceae. The record is from RNAcentral.
AAAAUUAAGAUGUGAAAGGAAGGAAAGCUAGAAGAGAGCCCUCUUUCUUUUAGUGGUGAUAUUGGUAUUAGUAAGUUAGCCGGCUACUACCGGUAAAUAUCUUUGCAUUCAAAGUGCGGGAACACUUGUCUAAAACGAAUACUUUUAGAAAGAUUACAGGCAUAUUGCUUCCAUACCAUUGGCUUAACACUACCAGCAUAGGGAAUGAAAUUGUGAAAAAAUAAAGGGUUUUCCAUGGCUGGUUUAUGGUGUGGUUGGGCUUGGCAGGUUCAUGAGCUUUUUUGCAAAAUAAGAUUCUUGUUUAAAUAGGAAAUUCUUUGAUACUAAAAUUAGUAAGUAUAGGAGGAGUACAGAGUGUGUGAAAAUAAAUAUAUAAACAAAGAGUUUCUGUGUGAGAAUGAAAAAGACUAUUUUAGUAUCUCUUGUAUAAGUUGGCUCUAGUUUGUGUGGCUUAGAACUGAUAUCUGGCUAAAGCUUUCAAUGGCUAAGAGUAGCUUUGGCUUUUUUUGUAUGGAGACUGGGUGUAGUCUCUGAACUUAUCUCAUGGAGAAGAAAAAUAUUUUCAUAAAAAAAUUAAGUCAUUAGAUGAUAUGCCUUGUUUGUUAUUAGUGGAGAUGUUGGGGUCAAUAUUUUCUUACAAAUUCGAGUCAUCUUGCUUGUUGUUCCAUGAGCUCCUAUGAUAGAAAUGUUGGCUACAUUAUCCAAGAAAAGUUGUGUCUGCACCUCAUAAAAAAAAAGUAUUGCAUGCAUAGAAAAUAGUGCGUGAAUGGAUAAAUCAAAGGGAUCUUAGUGUAGAGAUUUUUAAUGGAGUAAUAAAGAUUUUAAUAAAAACAUGAAAAUUUGUUCAUGGAGUUAUGUUUGGAGACAUGGUAUCUUAUAAUAGAGAUUUUUUGUUAGAGAUAGUGAAGAUAAAGAGAAAGUUACUCCUUUUAUUCAAAAGUUUAAAAGAUAGUGAAAGAUACCAUUUUUUAGACUUUCCUAAUCUCAAGUAAUGUGUUAAUGGAGAUUUUUUUUUCCUAUUUGUUUAAAUUGCAUCACAUUCUUCAUAAAUUAUUGAAGAUAUCCCUUAAAGAUCAACUUUUUUAUCUUUCUUUUCAAGGCAUGAUAUUCUUCAAUGUCAUGACUGUAAUCAUGGUGAAAGUGAGAGAACUUGUUAGGAUUCUUUAUGUUAAUACCACUAUUCAUGAAAUAUAUGGAUAUCGUAUAAAAUUUCUUCCCUACAUGGAUCCAACACCUUUAUAUGCAUAGUGGUGAAUGGUGCGGAUAGGAGCUCAGAAAAUAAUAAGAAAUCAUAAAUGGAUCCCAUGGUGUUUUUCUUGAAUGUCUUUGUAGGAGAUUGGUGACAUUGUGGAGAUUCUGCCCUCUAGAAAUACAAGUAUUCUUAUCUGAUCAUACUUGCUUCUUCCACUUAAAUAUGGUUUUUUAUUACAUGUUUUUAAUUGACAAAAAUUUUGUCAUGAAAAGUAUAAAAGCAUUCCCAUAAUGAAUAUUUAUAGAAUCCACUUAUUAGAGCCUCAAUGGCGAUAAGUUCACGUAGAUUCUUCAUGUUUAGCAUUUAUUUGUUGAAUCUCUAGAUAUAUGUUUUGUGCUUUUAUUCUCCUGUUGUGUAAUGGUGAAAAGCUUAAUCAUGUUAUUUUUACUUGGUAUACUAGUGCUAAAAUAAGAGGUUAGCUUAACAUACAAAUUAUAAAGAUCAAAUAUGAAGCCAAGAUCAAUACUGUGAUAUCAUAUCAAAGUAGACCAAUAAAAUAUCUUAUAAGUUGUAGGAGAGCAUAUAGAUAUUAUUUUCUCAAAGAGCAUGUGAGCAAAAAUCAAGGGAGGAUUGAUGGAAAUAGUCAUGCAUAUAGUUAAGAUCUUUUAUGAAGUGCUCUUUAUAACAAGAGUAGUUUUAUUAAAAAGUUGAAGUAUUGUGCAUAUUUUACAUGUUAUUUUUCAUGUUUUUUUUUCAUGAAACUAGAGUUAUCAUUAUCUUUUGGUGCAUAUAAUGGAUUAGUAUGUUGUAUUCCUUAUUGAUGAAAUGAAAGAGUGUGAAGCUAUUAUUGUAUAACUAGAACAAUAUUGUUGAGCACCUAUACUUGAUGGGUGAGUUUCUGAAGACCCAAAGUUCUUAUGCUAAGGAGAUCGAUUACUCUCUCUCUUGUCCUAAAGUUUUGUCAACCAUGAAAAUUGCUUUUGGUGAGGAUUGAAAGAGAAUGAACUAGCUUUUUUUCUUUUCCCAUAAACGACGCCAUUAGUAAGGUUAUGGAUUUAUCAUGGUUGUGUCCUGAUUGAUAAAGUGGCUAGGGAAGGUAAUUAUGAUUGCCAAUUAUAUACUUAACAAAGUACCCUAUAAAAAGCUAGAAAAUGCACCAUAUAAAUUAUGAAAAGGUAGAAAGCCUUAUAUAAAUACUUCAAAGUGUAUUAGUAUCAUGCAAAAGUGGCAGUACUUGAUCUUAAAAAAGUCAAGAUAGGACCUAAAAACAUGGAUUAUAUUUUUAUUAGAUAUACUUAUAAUGGCAAUGCAUAUAAAUUUCUUAUACACAAGUCAAGUAUUAAGAGUAUUAAUCCUGAUACUAUUAUGGAAUCAAGAAAUGCUACAUUCUUUGAGGUUGUGUUUCUAUUUAAAGAAGUAUAAGAAACCACUCAAUUGAGAGAAUGAUUAAGACUAGCUCAUGUAGUUAUCAUCAAUUAGAAGUUGAUGAAGUUGGGCCUAGAUAAGUAAAAAGGAAAAAAACCAAAAUGUUUUGGUUCUGAUUUUCUAACAUAUUUGCUAAAAAAAUGAACCUCUAAGCUAUUCCAAAGCAAUGUCAUGUCCUGAAGCUUCUUAUUAGAAGGAGAUAAUUAAUUGUGAGAUUGAAUUUGUUAUGAAUAUUCAUAUAUGAAAACUAGUGGAUCUUCCACUAGGAAGUAAACCAUUAGGCCAUCAAUGGAUCUUCAAACAAAAAAAAAAACUGAUGAAAUUAUUCAAAAAUAUAAAGCAAGAGUUGUUGUUAAAUGAUUUAAAUAACAAGAAUGUGUGAACUAUAUAGACAUAUAUUCUAUAGUAUCAAAAAUAACUUUCAUACAGACGUCAAUAGUCAUUGCAACUAUUAAUAAGCUUGAAAUACAUUAAAUGAAUGUAAAUAUAGCUUUUUCAAAUGGUGGCCUUGAUGAAGAUGUUCACAUAAAAUAACCUGAGGGUUUAUUUUAAAUGGACAAAGAAAAAAAUUGUGUAAGCUUGUCAAAUCAUUGUAUGGUUUGAAAAAGCACCUAAAUAAUGACAUAAAAAAACAAAAUUAGUUAUCAAAUGAGUUCAAAAUCAACAAAGUUGAUAAAUGCAUUUAUGUGAAAAAUAUAGAUAAAGUUUAUAUCAUUGUACAUCUUUUUUAAGGACAAAAUACUGAUUUUGUGUAGCAAUGAUCACAUAAUCAAGUCUAUUAAGAAAUAUUAAAUAAUAAAUUUAACAUAAAAUACUUGGGUGUUGUAGAUGUUAUAAUAAUAAUAAAAAUUACAAGGACAUCUAAUGGAUUGAUAUUGUUUCAAUCUUAUUAUGUAGAGAAAAUUCUCAAUAAAUUUUCUAAAGAUGACCAUAGCCUAAUCAAAGCACCAAUUAAAUAUUUUUGCAUAAUUAGGAGCUUGAUAUAUUUUAUAAAUUGCACAAGAAUUGAUAUUGCAUACUCAAUUAACAAUUUUAGUAGGUUCACCAACAAUUCGAAUAUGUAUAAUUGGAAAGCAAUAAAAAAGGUCCUCAAAUAUUGGAGAUACACCUUAGAUUAUGAGUUACUAUAUUAGUUACCCAACAAUAUUAGAAGGGUAUAAUGAUGCAAAUUGAAUAUUUGAUAAUAAGGAUUUAAAAUUUACUAGUGGAUUUAUCUUUAUACUGAGUAAAAUAUUUGUGUCAUGGAAAUCCUCUAAAUAAAUGUGUAUCACAAUAUCCAUAAUAAAAUUAAAGUUUAUUGUUUUUAAUAAAAUUAAAGAAAAAGCCAAGUGACUUUGGAAUUUCAUAAAGAAUAUCUUAUAUUAGCAAAAAACAGUGCUAGUUAUUCGUGUCCAUUGCGAAGUCAGUCUGCAAUUAGAAGGACACAAAGUAUAAUGGUAAUUCUAAACAUUUAUAUUAUAGAUAUAAUAUCAUUAACUACUUGCUGUUAAAUAGAAUAAUUUCCAUCGACUACGUAAAGUUUGUCGCACCUGACAUCAUGGAUACAUUUAAAAAUUAAAUAUUCUUGAAAGAAUAUGUUUUUGACAUCUUAUUCUUAGAUAGGGAAUGGUCUUGCUUAAGGAGUCGCCACCUAGUAUUAUGGUUGCUAGGAACUCUAAUUGAUCAACAAAGAUUCUAUGGUACGGGGAUGGUUACACAAAAAGAAAGAUAUUAUCACCUCUUAAGCGUCCUACUUGAGGUAAAAUGUAUUGCUGGUUUUGUCUUAAAUUGCUAAGAGUUUGUUAGUUUAUGCUAUGAUGGUCUGCUUGUAAUAUUCUUGACUCUAGCGUCAGUGAAUAUUCAACUACGGAUAUUUCCAACUCUGGCGUUGGUAAAUAUUAUAUAGUAAAAAAAAUGGAUGGUAUUCCUAACUCUAGGAUUAGUGAAUAAACCAGUAAAAUGAAUUUAAAUCAAUGUAUACAUAUUCUUUUUAUUUUUUAAAAAGAAAAAAAAUAUAUCGCAUAUCAAAUUUACAUUUCACAGUAAAAAUCCCCAGAUCAAUUAUACAGUGAAAUACCAAAAAAAUUUGAGGGACCCACAAAUAAAUUAAAAAAGGUCCACGAAUUUUCUGAUAUGCGGAAUGACCUGUUUGACUAGAUAUCAAAAUAUAAGAGGAUGAAAACAAAGGGGCAAGGCAUAAGGGUGUGUUUUGCCAAAAACACCCUUGGCCCAAAAUAGAUUGGGCUGGCUGGGCCGAGGCCCAAGCCCAUCUUGGCCUCAUGUUAUUUUUGAUUUUUUGGGGGGGGGUCUGACCCAGCCUUUAUGGGUUGGGCUGGACCUAGUGACCCAGCCCAGUCACGGGUCCAAACCAGUGGCCUGACCGGUUACUAUUGCAGGCAUGCGUGAAGUUGUAGGACAAGCUAGAGGUUUAACGCCUAUCAUUUUAGUGAUGUCAAGAAGAUUUAAGAUAUUUUUAUAUUAUUUGAGAUGAAGUACUUCAUUGUUUCUUUGUGCUUCAAUUUCAAAGAAGAGAAAUGAAGCCAAAAUAUUAGUUUUUCUGGUUUUAUAGUAGAUAAUUAAAGCUAAUAAUGAAGAGAAAUUAUUAUGGUAAUUGUCAUAACCCAUUUCUUUCCAAAAUAAAUACCAAAAAAUAAAUAAAGGCUAGCAACGUAGAAAAAACAGGCCGAGGAGGAUCUAAAAAAUACACGAAAAUCAAGUUGUAAUUUUGGAGGAAAUUCAAGGUCUAAUUGUACUUCAUUACACCUAAAAUUAAAGAAACAAUGCAAAUUAAAGGUCAACUUAAUUGAUUAUUGGGCUAUUAAGUCUAAGGACAAAAAUUAAGUCUAAGGAAAUAAUUAAAUUUUCAAUAUGCCAAUUUGAUUUAAUCAUGAGCUAAAUUGAAGGUUUAAUCAUGUUUAGGAAUUAAUUUGGGUCCAAUUAAAGGAUUUAAUUAGGUAUAAGGACUUAAUUAUAUUUUAAAAGGGUCAGAUUAAUUUUAUUAGGCGUUUAAUUGGUGAAGAAUUAAGUCUAAGAGUCCAAUUUGGGCUCAAUUGAGAAAACUAAAAUUUUAGAACACCAAAUUUAAUUUUUACCAUGUCAAAUAAUUGAAAUUAGGGGUAAAAUCUCAAAAAAGUAAAGUUUUUGGGUCAAAUUGAAAAAGUUCAUAGUUAAUGAUCAUUUUGUAAAAGGCGUCGAACUAUAGGGGCUUAAUUGAUUGAAACCAGGGUGAAAAUGAAAAAAUUAAAAGUUUAAUGGUCAAUUAGGGGCUAAAUUAAAGAAAUCUGAAACCAAGGACCAAAAUUGAAAGGCUCCGAACUUCAAGGUUAAAAUUGAAGUUUUAUAGGGACUAAAUUGCAUUAAAUCAAAAGUUUAGGGUCAAUUAGAGGUGCAAUUAAAAUAAAUCAAAAGUGAAAGGACUAAAUUGAACUUUGGCAAAAAUCCCUAAACGAUGUCGUUUUCAAAAAAAUAAACCAGACGAAUCGUCGUCUGGUUACUGUUCAUUAUCUUCCUUCUUUUUAGCCUGAAAAGACUACUCAUUGGCUACUUUGUAGGUGCUUUUAAUGCCUUUAACCUUCACCAAAUUUAACAAAACAUUAACCAAAAUGAUCACCUGACAUUUCCCUACAACCUCGUAUGAUCCAUUCAAUCUGAUUGAAAGUACCAUAGUGGCCGAGAUGCCAACCUAAAUUUGUCAAUUCAGGUAGCCUUGAAUUGUCAAAUUUGACAGUGUAUGGUGCCUACUUUGAAUCAACAGUUAGAAUCUUUUCCAGCUGAAUCAAGGGCCAAAAGUUUUUUUCCAAUGAAGAUAAGAUUACCCUCUUCCAUCCCCUAUAAAUAAAUUUCAAUUUCAUGGUAUGAGCAUUAAAAAAUCAGUGUACAAAGUUGGCAAAAAACUAUUUUUUUCUAGAUUUUUUUCUUCUCCUUUGUCGGCCAUACUUUUCCCCUCUUUUUCUCCACCUCCGGCGAUGCCAUCACCUUCAGCCACCAUCCACAAUCUCCCCUAUAACACCAGCAACGCCUUUAGCCUCUCUCCUCCUCUAGUCAGACGAGUUUUCCCCUUUUUGUCCUAAAAAACUCCUCUCCUGGCUACUGCAUUUUACAGCUGGGUCCAGCCCGAAAAAAAGAAGAAAAAAGAAAACCCAAGUCUUCUGGGCCGAGAGCGGCCCAGUUAGUUUGGUCGGCCAACCUUAUAAUAACAAAACAAAAUUUAGAAAAUUCAAAAAUCCUUUCAAAAUGACUCCCAAAUAUCAAUGCAGAUCACUGUAUAACUAGGAAUUAUUAAUUAAAGAAUUCUUAACUUGUUUGAAAUGAACCCAAAUCAAACUCUAUGCUAAAUAUGAGAAUUAAAAAAUGAAUCUAGACUCAUAGUCCACGCCAGCUAAUGAAGAGACGUUUAUUAUAAUUUAAUUCAAUAAAAAUGACUCCAUAUCGACUCUAAAAAUCAAUGCAGAUCCUUCAUGGACAAGACUUAUUAAAGAUUUCUUAAAUUGCUUGAAAAUGACUUCAAACUCUAUGCUAUCCUAAUAGGAGAUUGGUAGCCCUAAUCAUUAUAUUUUUAGUUUCUAAUAUAUCUAUUAAUGAAGUUAUUGUAUCAUAAAACAAUACUAAAAUGUUAAAAGUGAUUUAAUUUGUACCCAAACAAUUUUAUAGACAUGAUUUAUUGAGUGACUUAAUCAUAAAAUUUGGAUAUCCAUCAACUCAAUUUUAAGUCUGUAAAUAUAUAUAUAUAUUUUUUUCAUGACUUCUACUUUUGAAAAAUAAAGUCAUAAAUACUUAGACAUAAUUGUAUAUUCUCUUCUUUUUUAAAAAAGAAAAAGAAUAUAAAGCAUAACCAUUUUACAAUUUGUUACUUUGAAAAUUUUAAUAAAAUAGAAGAAAUACAUUAAAUAAAGUCAUUUUAAUACCUAUGAUAAAUAAUAGAAUGAGAAUAAAAAAAUAAAUUGAGAAUAAUAAAAAAAAGUGGAGUUAGAAUUAAUUUUAAAAGCUCACCUACUAGCUUAGAAUCUUGGUAGAAUGGUUCCUUGAGGCAUGGAAACCUCUUCGAUUGAGUUAGUAUUUGAUUAUCAACACACUUAAUUAUUUAUAUAUUAGUGAAUUAAUAUAAAAAAAAUUCAGAACUUAAGCUUUUAAAUUAGAAUCACUUUUCAAUAUUUAGCAAUAGGUUCCUUCUCUAGUUUUGAAUCUUGCCAACUUCAUUUUUUUUUAAUUAGAAACUAGAUAAAUAGCCUACGAUAUACUAUCGAUCAAGUUAAUUUUUUGCUAACAUGAAAAAAGAUGUUCAUGCGAUAUCAAUAUUUUUAAAGGAGUAAAAAAAAUUAGGAAUUCGAUUACUGAAAAAGAUUACACGUGUUGUUAGAGCAAUGACUCGAAAAGCAAAAAUAAAACACCAUGAAUUAAGCAUCUCAUGCUAAUUCUCACGUAAAUGAAUAAAUUAUGAAUGAAUAAAAAAUUAAUCUCAAAUAACUUUUGGUUAACAUGCUUAGAGAAAUUUAAGACACUCUAAAAACUCUAUCCUACAUUAAAAAAAAAAAAAACAAGUUUUUCUAGUUGUUUAUAUAGUGAGAAUAUAAAAGGUUAAAAUUAAACCCAAAUAAAACCCAGGCUUUUACAGGAGAGAGGACCUAAUCUAAGUGAUCUUUGAGCUUAAGCCAAGUGCGUGCACACAAGACUCAGCUCGUGCACAAGCCUCGAGCUUUGAACCUUGUUUAGGCCUAAGUUGAGGCAUAUGUUUGAGUUUAUUAUAAAAUAAUAUUUGGGCUAUAAAAUAUUUUUUUUCCAACCUAUUAUAGGCUUGGAUUUAAAUUUAUAAUUCUUUGACCUAUAAAGGAUUUUUUUUACCAUCCUAUUCUUUUGUCAAGUCCAUGAAUUAAAGAAUUUGAUUAGUUUAUUUCGUAAUAGUUUCUUAAAACUUAAUAAUUUUUUCAACUUAAAAACUUCAACUUAAGCCAAAAUAUUAGGUUUUUUAUUUAUAAUUAAAGCUAAUAAUGAUGAGAAAUUAUUAUGGUAAUUAUUAAAAUUAACUUGAUAUAAGUUUUGGUUUAAAAAUGGACGGAAGAAUAAUGUUUUUUGUUGGUUUUUGUGGACAGUGUGUAGAAAGAAUUUGUAAAAUUUUUGACACUUUUCCUCACCUCAAUGUUUAGCAUAAUUAAGCCACAAUAUCCGGGCUUCUUCUUCUCUUUUUUCUAAUCUUGCUUUUUUUUUUUAAUUAAUAUCUUCUUUGAAUGUCUUUUUUCUUAAAUAAUUUUUAAAUUUAUGAUUCAAUUAAUAUCCCUCCUUUAUGAUUUUUUUCUUAUUUAACAUUUUUUGGAUAGAGAUUUUUUUAAUGGUGUUGUGUGUAUUUAGUUUUUGGAAAUCUUAUUCUAAUGCUUCUAUUUUUUUAAUCUUUUAUAUAGAUGAAUUUUAUUUUUUAAAAUAAAAAAUAUUUAUUUUCAAAAAAUAUUUUUAACAUGUGAAGCAUUACAUGAUAUUUUUUUUAUUUUGUUUUAUUCAAUAAAUUUAAUGUGCGUGUUUAUUUUUAUUAUCAUUUGAUUAAAUAAAAAAUUAAAUUUUAAUAAAUAAAUUUAGUAAGCACAAUCAGGUAAAUAUCCUGUUUUGCAAGAUUAAAUGUAUUAAUCUAUAUUUAUUUCUUGUUUUUUGUGAUUUUAUUUUUAAUUAUUGGUAAUGAUUUUUGUUUUUCUGUUUAUUAACAUAUGUAGUUCUUAAUUUAUUUAAUGAUAUAUAUGCAUGAACAUUUUAAUUUAUAUAUAUUUUUAAUGUAUACAAACAUAUUAAAAAAGACAAUAUAAAUAUUUUUUUUUAAUUAGAAAAAAUAUCUAAUCCGCAAUGAAUUGCUGAGUAAAAUAGCUAGUUUAUAAUCUAGAGGAUGGACAGCGCCAAAAAGUAUAAAAAAUUCAAAGCCAAUUUGCAACUUGGUUGAAAAAGACUAAAUUGCAUGCUAUUUUAUUAUAAUAAAUAAAUAACGAAUCGAGACAGAUUCCUCGCCAGCUAAUAAUGAAAGCUUUACUACAAUUUAAGAGAUUAAAAAUGACUCCAAAAAAUCAAUGCAGAUCCCUGUAUAAAUAGGAAUUAUUAAUUAAAGAAUUCUUAACUUGCUUGAAAUGAACCCAAAUAAAAAAUUAUCUCAAUUCAAUAGCUUAACCUAUUAAAUAAAAUUUUAAAAUAUAAUUUAUAUUAUUUUCUAACACAUCUCCUAAAAUAAAAGUCUUUUGGACUUGAAACUUGCAUAGACUCACACUACCUUGUGUUUAAUUUUUAUCACAUAAAUGAGGAUGAUGAAAUUCGAACUCGUGACCGUUUAGUCAUCAAGGCUCUGAUACCAUGUCAAAGAAUCAUCUCCACCCAAAAGUUUAAGCUGUUAGGUGAGGUUCCAAGAUAUUAUUUAUAUUAUUCUCUAACACUAAGUAUGAGAAUUAAAAAAUGACUGUAGACUUAGAGUCCACGCUAGCUAAUUAAGAAAUGUUUAUUAUAAUUCAAGUCAAUAAAAAUGACUCCACAUUGACUCUAAAAAUCAAUUUUGAGAAAUUAUUAUGAGUCCUAAGAGGUAAUUUAACUGGUCAGGUCUUGGGCUUGCUCCCUAAUGGUCACGAGUUCGAGUCCCCUCAGGACCACUGGUGGCUUACAUGAUUGUUAACUUCAGGACCCGUAGAAUUAGUCGAGGUGUGCACAAACUGAUCCAGACACCCACGUUAAUAAAAAAAAUUGAGAAAUUAUUAUGGUAAUUAUUAAAAUUAACUCUAUAUAAAUUUUCGUUUAAAAAUCCUUAGUAAAAAUAGACUGAAGAAUAAUGUUUUUUACUGAUUUUUUCUGGACAGUGUUCAGAAAAAUAAUUGCAAAUCUUUCUCACCUUAAUUUUCAGCAUAAUUUACUCGGUUUUAAGCUUUGUGUUAUUUUUUAGUUUUUUUUUUCUACACAAAAGCUUAGAUUCAAUGAGAGAUAUUUGAAUACAAUUCCUGAGUUCGUUUGAUUUUACAAAAGCUUAGAUUCAAUGAGAGAUAUUUGAAUACAAUUCCUGAGUUCGUUUGAUUUUAUUUAGGAGUGUAUUUAAACAAUAUAAUUUUUAUUGAAAUUCUAAGAAACUUAUUAAAAUCAACUUUUUUGUAUUUAGUAGAAAGUAAUAAAAUCUUAAAUACAAAAUCAUUCACAACAAUAUAUUUUUAGAUAAAUAUUUUUUUAAGUAUUUCUACAAGUAAAUAUCCUAUACAUGUUUUUAUUUAAAUACAUGCUUAAUAUGAAAGUUGUAUAUUGUCUUUUAUUGCAAUCUUACAAUGGUAUUAUAUUGCAUGUAUAUAAAUUAUACUUCUAUAUUCUCACUAUUUAGUCUACUAACUUUGAACAACAUUUUUUUUCACGGGUACAUUUCUAUAAAUUUUUGUUUGGUAAUUUUCACGAGUCAUUAAUAACUUUGCUCAGUUUGCGAUUAUUUCCAUCAAUAACAUGGAUCCAAGAUUGUUGGAGGCAGUACAGAGAGGAAAUGUCAUUGAACUACAGGAGCUGCUCGGAGCAAACGAUUACCUUCUAGAAAGAAGUUGUCUCAAUGACUCCUCCGAGACAAUCCUACAUAUUUCCUGCUUAGCCGGACGAACAGAAUUCGUGAAGGAGCUACUGAAGAAGAAAGCAGAUUUAGCUAAAAGGCUCAACCCAGAUGGGUUUAGCGCAAUACACAUAGCUUCUGCAAAUGGGUUUGUGGAGAUAGUGAGAGAGCUAUUGAUGGUUAACAGCGAGCUUGGCAGGCUUAAAAGCAGUGAUGGUAGAACUUCUCUUCAUUGUGCUGCUAUAAAUGGGAUGGUACAUGUGAUCAAGGAAUUGCUCAAGUUUUGUCCUGCGAGCAAGGACAUUGUGACAUUCAAAGGGGAAACCGCAUUUCACCUUGCUUUGAGAAAUAAUCAGUUUGAGGCUUUCAAAGUCAUGGUUGAUGUGCUCCAGCCGCAUAACAUUAAGGAGCUUCUGAAUGUGACGGACGAAGAUGGCAAUACUGUUUUACACCUUGCGACAGCUAAGAGACAGACUCAGGCAAGUCCGCUUUCCCUUCUUUCUUUGCUCCUUAUCUUUUGGGGUGCCUUGGGAUGGGCAUGAUCGGGUAUAACUUUCUAAAUUUCGAAUUAUAUUUCUACAACUAUGGUUUUCUGCAUAAUGGUAGACAUAAAACUCAACUACGAAACUAGAUGGUCAUUUUCCCUUCGUACUUGAAUUUCCUAUUUUCUAUUCAUUUUGAUCUGGUUUAGUUAAACCUUCAAAACAAGGGGAAUUUAUGUUGCUCGUAAUCAGAGCCAUCAAAUUUUAAAUUUAGGAAACUGAAACACUGUUUUAAACUUACUAAAAUAUGUGUUUUACGUGUUGAAAUUAAUUUUGAUUUUUUCAUUCAAAUUAUCUUUUAGUUCUCCUAAGUAUCUUCUAAAUAAAUGCAUAUAACAGUGAAAAAUACAGAGUUUGUGAAGAGAAUAAUUUGUUCCUCUUUCUAGCACGACAUAAAAUAGCCACUUUACAAAGCCCUCUUUAUAUCCUAUAGUUUAGGACUGAUUGACUAAUUAUAUGGAAACCUAUAGCUAUCAAGAUACAAUCACAUGUUCACAGGGAUUCUAGUAAUUCUAUUAUAUCUCUGUAGCUAGCAGUAGAGAUAAAAUAGGGGCUUGAAUAUUGGAGAUCCAACUUGAAGAUAAUUACUCAUAAUUAUCAACACUCCCCCUUAUAAAUGUCAUCCAUGCCUAGUUUGUUGAGACAGUCAUUAAAUGCUUGGUUUGACACUGUCUUGAUCAGCACAACAGCAAGUUCGUCUUGAGAUCGAACAUGAAGAACUUCAAUCAAUUUUUCUUUUAGUUUCUCCUUAAUAAAAUAUGUAUCAACCUCAAGAUGUUUAGUUUGAUCAUGUUGGACAAGAUUAUGAGCAAUAUAACACGUUGUCUUGUUAAUCACAAUAUAACUUCAUAGGGCUGACUUGCUUACUAUGUGAAUCUUGCAUCAAAUUUCUAAUCCACAACAAUUUGCAUAUUACCUUAGUCAUUCCUUUGUAUUUUGUUUGGAUCUAGCAACUGCCUCAUGUUUUUUUACUUCGCCAUAUAACUAAAUUCCCUCCUACAAAUGUGAAAUAGCUAGAUGUAGAAUGUCGAUCUUGAAUCGACCAAAACAAUUAGCAUUUGUAUAGUCGUUAAUAUCUAAAUUGUCUUCUUUUGUGAAUAAAAUUCCCUUUCCUGAAGAUGACUAAGUAGCGUAAGAUACGAAUGACAACAUUCAUAUGUUCGUCGCUUAGGGAGUGUAUAAAUUGACUAACCACAAUCAGCACAUAAGCUAAAUUAGGCCAAGUACAUGCAAGAUAUAUUAAUCUUCCAACCAGCCUUUAAUAAUGUUCCUUGUUAGUAGGAACUUGAUUUGAAUACACCUAUAGUUUCAAAUUUUCUUUCACAAGAGUGGUAGUUGGACUACAUGUUGUCAUACCAGUUUCAUUUAGAAAGUCUAAGGUAUGUUUUUUUGUGACAGAAAAAUAUCUUUCUUCGAUCUAGAUACUUCAAUUCUAAGAAAAUACUUUAAUUCCCUGAGGUCUUUCAUCUCAAAGUCAUGAGUAAGAUGCUCUUAUAGUAUUUUCUUUUCUUCAGGAUCAUUUCCAAUCACUAUCAUAUCAUUAAUGUAUACAAUAAGAGCUGUGAUUUGUUUUUCAUUAUGCUUCAAGAAUAGAGUGUGAUCUAAGUUACUUUGCUUGUAACCAACAGACGUCAUAAAACUUGUGAACCUUUCAAACCAUGCUCUAGGAGACUACUUCAAACUAUAUAGGGAUUUUCUCAACCUACAAACUUAUUUAUUACCUUUAGUCUACCGAUUACAGCCAAGGGACAACUCCAUAUACACUUCUUGGAGAUUUCCAUUUAAAAAUAUUUUUUUUUUAUCAAACUGGUGUAAAGGCCAAUCAAGAUUUAUUGCUAGAGAUAAUAAAAUACGAACAGUGUUAAUUUUGGCCACUAAUGAGAAUGUCUCCAUAUAAUCAAUUCCAUAUGUUUGAGUAUAUCCAUUGGCGACAGGUCUUGCUUUGCAUCGUUCAAUAGUUUCAUCGACUUUGCAUUUAAUGGUGAAAACCCACCUGCAUCCAACAGGUAACUUUCUUUCAGUUGCGUCAACAACUUUCCAUGUUGAGUUUUUUCAAAAGCUCUUCAUCUCUUCAUUCAUUGCCUCCCUCCAUCUGAAAUCUUUCAAAGCUUCCUGCACAUUGUUAGAAAUAGUUGCACAUUGUUAGGAAUAGAUAUAACAUAUAAUUGAUUCAUAAAUGUCAUGCUUUUCUUUGAUAAUCUAUGGUAGGAUACAUAGUUAUUUAUAGGAUAUUUAGAUUUAGAGUUGAGGACAGGUUCAUAGCUAACCUUGCAUUAAAAAAAAGUAAAAAAAAAAAACACCUAAAACUUCUUGCAACGAAAGAUAAGAUGUUGUACAAGAGAGACCACACAUGAAGAAGAGGAGAGAGAACUCUUCUUACAUGACAUGAGAAAUGGCUAAAGAGCCAUGAUAAGAAGAAGGCAGCAGCCUGCCUAAAAUACAGUGAGCCAAAUAUUAAAAGAAGUGUUUGGUUAGAGAAAUAUGGUGGCAACCAUGAAAGGAGAAAAAUGGCUAGGAGCAACCAUGUUCAUAUAGACCAUUUUUAAGGAAAGAAAGAUUGAAAAGAUGGCAAUGAGAUGCCAUUAGCAAGUCAUGACAAGAUGGUUUUCAAUCAAAAUUCAAAUUUAUGUGAGAGUUUCAAAGUUAAGGAGGAGUGUUGGAAAUAAUUUUGAAGUAUUUAUUUAAAGUAAUUUUUAGUUCUUUUAGGUGUGUCCUAGAUAUAUGCAUGUAACUAUCCAAGAUGUAUUUAUCUUUUACGUCUUUUGAAUUAUCCGAGAUUAGUAUAGAUAAGUAUUGUAAAUCUAAGUAUAAAUCUAUAUGGACUUACUAUUUAAAGGAGUAAUUAAUGUAAUACGAAUAAGAUUUGGAUUUCAUCAUGCUUCCCAUGUUCCCAUUACUUUUCUCCUUCAAAUAUGUGGAGUUUUUGGGAUGUCUGACCCGUAUUUCAUAUUCAUACCAGCUAUGUCAUGUCGUGUUGAUCCAGAUGCUUUCGGAGCAUCAGAGUUCUGGAUUAGUAUUAUGUUUAAUUUUUAAGUAAUCUAUGAUUACACAACGGAAAAAGAAGUUUUUACGUAAUCUCUUUUCUUUUCUUAUGUUACAGACCCUGAAAUCACUUCUUGGCGGUCAAGGUAUUGACAUAGGUACAAUCAAUGUGAAUGUCGUCAACAAGAUUGGAUUAACUGCUAGGGACAUGUUAGAUGUCUCACAAAAAAUGCAGGCUGACGCUGGUGAUUUCAUGCUCAGGGAAUUGCUUCACGGUGCUGGAGCAUUAAGAGCAAGGGAACUUGGAACUGUUGUUGAUGUUCAAGUUACUCGUAUCUCUAGCACCGUAUCAGAAUCAUUGAGUCAAAAUUCAGAGCAUUUCUUACUUAAGGUGGCUAAACAUUUAGAUCCAGUGAAGCACUACAAGAAACUAGCUAAAGAAGUUCAACAGGCUCCCCCAGGAACACAAAACGUAUUGUUGGUUGUGGCAGUACUUAUUGCAGGUAUGGCAUACCAAGCCAUCUUAAACCCUCCUGGUGGCAUUCGCACCGAAGAACUUGAAGAUGGGACGGUUUACUAUUAUGCUUGGAUGGCUUCAGGAAAAGGGCGUGAGUUUAUUUUCUUCAUGGCUUCGAACACUAUAGGCUUUUUUGCGUCGAUUGUGGUGAUCAAUUUAAUUAUUCAGGAGUAUCCACUCAAGUCAUUACUGGGGCUAGCUUUGCGUUGUAUGGUGGCAAAUUAUAUUUCUGGGUUUCUUCUUAUUGGCCCGACUAGCGUGUCUAUCACCCGUAGCGCGUUAUUGGGAAUAGUAAUUGUAGUAUCGGUCGACUUAAUUCGCUUCAGCUUCCGGUUACUCAGAAGAUGGUCCAAAAAAAUAAGAGAACAGAUGCUUCAUUAGACCGUGGAGCCAGCGCCGGACUUGAGGUGAAAAAUGAUGCAGCUGAAUAACUCUGCUGCCACAGAGUAAGAUAUGGUAAGUUUUGUGUUACUCGAAUCCUAAACAUCCUUGUAUGGACUCAAAAUCUGCAAGCCCGUUAUAAGUAUUUGGCAGUUUGUGAACUGAUAAAAUUUUACUUCCUGGACGCAUGCUUGGGAAUACAUCUAGUUUUUGUACCCAUGAAUUGUUGCAGGGACAGUGAAAAAUUACACGAAUUUAGGCAUCUUAAAAGUGUUUGAGCUGAAAAAAGAAUGGCAAUGUAAAAUAUCUAGCGAAUAUGGUUGAUUGAGCAUCUUUCAAAAUUUUGAAGAAAAAAGGCACAAAAAUUGUAUGCUUCAUCAUGAUCUCUCGGUAGGUAGUCCAUUACUGACGAAACAUAGAGACAACCAUGCUAUAUAGGGAAUAACAAACACCUUACGCAACUUGGUAAACAUGGUAUGGGAAUUUAAGAUGCCAUUUGAAUUGAAUUCUAUGGAAAAUCUAGAUUUUAGAAUUCAAAGAUUGUUAGUAAUGUUCACCAAGAAAAAUGAAAAUAACAAUCAAUACAAAGUAGACAUCAUCCAGUUGUAUCAAAUAUCAAUUUAUAAGCAAGAGGUUAACAGAGAAACAUUGUGUCAUAAUCCAUUUUUGGAUCACUCCCAAAUCCAUUUCCUUUUCUUUCAAAAGAAAACGAUAUGGUGCCGUUUUAAACGGCACUGUGCAUAUUCUUCUCCCCUCAAAGACAGGGGAGAACAAGAUUUUUGAAAAUUUUUCUCGCUAUUCUUCCCCUCUCUCUUUCCCCUCCCACUUGCAUAAAACCCAUACCUAUAAGUCCAUGCCGCCAUGAUGAAGAAAACAGGAAACCAUGCCUUGCCAGCAGCUCCCAUCACCCACCUUACCCUGCACCAAGGCAGGGGUAAGGUGACCCUCUCCUCCUCUGCUUAUAAAUACCAGAGAAGGAACCAACAAUAAGGGGGGCGGGGGCAAAAAUUUUGGAGAAGGAGAGAAGCAAAUGACAGAUUCAGGGGGGGAGAAUUUUUUUAGAAAAGAGGGAAGCAAGCAGGAAAGAAGCAGAAACAGGAGGGGGGAAAGGUUUUGAAAACAGAAAAGAGUGGUGAACAUUUGAAAACAGAGAAGGAAGGAGAGAUUUGAGAAGGAACAGAGAGAGGAGGACAAUGUUGACAGAGGAAACACACAGGGGAAAAGAAGAAUUGCAGCAGCUUGCCUCUACUCCUCACCGGCGCCCCCCACAGCAACUCCACUGGUCAGCAACCGCCAGCAGCGCCACCCACCGUCAGCCUCCCACCAUCUUCCUUCCCUGCUGCAACACUGUGAAAAAGAAGAAAAAAUAGCAGCACUGGUUGCCACAACCACUGAGCCGCGACAACAUCUCCUCCGCCACCAGCAGCGCCACCGUCAACCUCUAACCAUCUUCCUCCCCCUGCUGCAACACCCUUGAAGAAGAAGGAGCCGGCACCUCUGCACAGACGGAAAAAACAGCAGCAGACACUGCCCGCCACCGCAGAGAAGAAUCACCAUCACUUCGCCAACAACAGCAGCAACCAUUAGAAAUAGAAGAAGAAAGGAGAAGCAGCAGAUAGAAGCGGGGAGAAGAAGAAACACUGAAAAAACAGAAACAGAGGAGAACAGAUUAGAAGAAAAAAACGCAGAGAAGAAAAGAAAGGCCGACCACCAUCCAAGCCGUUCUCCGGUCAGCAACUGCCAGCAGCAGCAGCACCGUGAGCCGCCGCCAGGUCUGCUUUCCCCGCCUUUCCCUUCUUUCUUCUUCUUCUUCCCCAUGCAGGUUCCACUGUUCAUGCGAACUUUGGGCCGGAUCAAUUCUGGCUCAGCUCAAAUUUCUGGGCCGGUUCCGGCCCGUUCAAAAAAAAUCCAAAAAAAUAUUUUCGUCAAAAUCUGUGAUUUUUUUAGCAAAAUUUGUCUCUACUGUUGAUGUACAUGAUUAUUUCCUCCAAGAAAUAGGUAUAUUCUUCGUCAAGAGCUUCAUCAGCCCCAUUUCCGUUUCAAACUUCUCAGGAAGCCUGUCUUUGGCCAUCUCUACAUAGUUUGGUUCCAAAAUCCAAUAUUACAACCAACAAAACUCGUCUCUGGUCUGAUUCUCUUUAAGAAGCUGUACUUCGUAUAUAUGUAUUAGGGAGAAUCUGCACUUGAGAUCACCUUUGUCUUCACAUGAGAUGCACGCAAGGAUUUAUACACGUCGAUGGAUGCUUUCUUUAAAUCAUAAAUUCAUCAUCGUAUAUAAUCAUAUCAAAAUUUGCUAUAAAACUCCUUACUCUCAUAUGAAAUUCAACUGUUAUGAGUCUCUUGUUAACAUUUAACAACUUCCAUUCAGCAUGAGAUUUAAUUGCAUGAUCUUAUCUUAACAAUAACUUGGACAACCCAACACAUAACAUUGGAUCAAAUUAGUUUUUUUCUUUUUUGGAUUCUCAAUACUUAAUAAGGAAAUGAGAUUCGUAAGAAACUAAUUUGGUCCAACAGUACGCGUUAAGCUAUUCAAGUCAUUGUUAUCGUGUUACCAUACAAGUAUACCUCAAGUCGUGGCUUUAAGCCUAACUCUUACACUUUACCAUAGAAAGUGGAGAAUUCAUGGGAGUACACAAUCUUCAUAACCAUUAGGAGCAACAAUGGGAGCUCAACGACCAAAAUAGUUUUUUGUAUUUAAGGAAAUCAUUACCAGAAUUCUUAUAUUUACCAACAGAAUUUUCCGUCGAUAUUUGUACUAUCAUUUCAUUGGCAAUUAAUUUACCGAAAGAAUCACAGAUAAAAAUGCUCUGUCGGUAAUUUUUUAUCUAUCGAUAAGUCCGUCGAUAAUAACAAAAUAUUAUUACUGAUGCAUUUACUGACGGGAAAAGCGUGCUAAAAAACAUUAUUCGCUUCAUUACGUCGGUAUUUUUCUCAGGAAGUUUGUCAUAUAACCAACAAAAAUAUUGUAUGCAAUUUCGUCGGUGAUUAUUUAAAAAUAUUAUUUUAUAAAAAUCUAUUUAACAAAACUAGAAAAAAAUUAAAUUAAUAUAAAUCAACACUCCAUAAUACUCAGAACUGAGUUGCUUAAAAAAAAUCAACUCAAACAAAUGUGCAACAAAAAAAUAAACAACAACAACAAAUAAAUAAAUCAACAAAAAAUUGAUCUCAUAUGAAAAACAAAUCCUACAACAACAUUCAUACAAUUACUAAGAACAGAAAAAUUUAAAAAUAUAAUAAAAAAACACAAAAAAAUAAGAAAAAAGAAAUUUUACCUUGAUGUAGUUGCGACUGAAGCUGAGAAGAGAAAAAAAAUCAUAAAAUAUGUUAAUUAAAAAAACUAAAAAGAGAAAAGAAGAAAAAAUAAAAAGGCAUGCAUGAGCGUGGAGAAGAAGAGAAGGAGUUUAGGAGAGAAAGAAAGAAAGGGACUUUGAUGUUUUUUAUAUAAGAAGAAGAAGAAGAAGAAGAAAAGGGCAUGUUUGUUAUGAAAUGAGGGAUUCUAGUCUUUUUAUUGAGGUAUUUUACCGAUAAUUUUACCGACGGAUAAUUAAAUAUUAAUAUUUUUAACCAUUCUGUCGGUGAUUCCGUCUUUAAUAUUUAAUUUAAAAUUUCAAUAUGAUAUAUAUAUUUUUUUAAUAUUGAGACGAUAAUAUUUUGAGCUUUGUAGCUUAACCCGCAACCCGAGUUAUGAACUCCAUUGAGUUUAAUAACUUUGUUUUUUGAAACUAUUUUUUACUUAAUUUUAUGAUGAUAAAAUUAGACACUUAUAAAAUUGAGCACCAAUCAAAUAUCAGCUCAUUUGUUUAAGGAUGUAAUAACUUUAUAAAAAGCAAAUCAAAAUAAAUUAUAAAUAAUAAUUUAAAAGCAAUGCAUCAUUGAGUAAUGAAAUUUAAAUUAAAAAAAGAAGAAAAAAAAAGAAGAGGGACCUGCUUGUAUUGUUUACAUGAACAGUGCAAGCAGGCGAUUUCCCCUUAAUUCUUGAUGUUGUUGUUAGUAACAGUAGCUGUAGUAACAAUAGUAAAAUAAAAAAGAAAGAGGCAAUAAACUAUAAAAAAAUGAGUUAUAAUAUAUAAAAUCAAUGAUUCUUUAUAUAUUUUUUUUACGAUAUACAUCAGUUUCGAUAUAAAUAAUUUAUUUAAAAUCUAAUUGAAAAUAAAUUUAGUUAUAAUAUAUAAAAUCUAGUCCAAAAAUAAUUUUACCUUUAAUACCCAAGAGAAAUCUUAAGAAUAACCACUCCAGAAACCAAAAUAAUUGUAUCAACAAAAAAAACAGAGCUAAAAUAUUUUUUUUAACAUAGAUAAAUAUAUAAUAAUUUACUUUAUUUUUCAUGAUAUUUUGGGUUUCCAAAUGGACGACCCCAAAUCCAGCCCUAAACCCUGUAUUUUUUUAUUAAUAAACCUAUUUUUGGAAGAAUGAAAAAGAUGGAUUAUUUUGUUAUUGAAUUUUUAGCCUAAAAAACUGAAAUUUAUUCUCGUGAAAAUUAUCCAGUAAUUAAAGAUGAAAAAAUAAAAAAUAAGCCCCAAAUAUCAAUACCCCGAAUUCCCAAAACAAAUUAAACUACCCAAAAAACACAAAACACCUCCUCAAAUAACAAAAGUAGGGUUUUAUAGCUCUUUACCGCUUAUAUAUAACUUCUUGACACCCCUGUUUCUCCUCCAUUAGCAGGCUCCACACCUCCAAAAACCCUGUUUUCAUCACACAAAUCCUUUCAAAAACUUACCUUUUAAAAAAACUCUCUGAAUGAUGCCUCCUAGGCUUCACUUGUUACAUUUCACUGAAGUAGAAAGCCCCAAUGCUCGUGCUAAAACACCUGCCGUUCAGUGUUGUAGUUUAGCCUCUUGUACCUUUUUUCACGGCUUAUCUGUUUCAAAUCAACGACUACAUCUCUUAUUUCUUAAAAUUUCUCUUUUUUUCAUCCGGGUAUGUGUUUUUUUGUUGCCUCUCUAUACCUCUAGCUUGUUUUUUGAGAACUAUGGUGGAAAUUAAGCUAGUCACUGAGGCAAAAAUUGAGUCUUUUUGGUGGUGUUCACGUGGGGGCUUAUGCCCUUUGUGUCAGUGGUUUUGCCUCUAAAAACUCCUUCCGAAUUCAUCAAGUUUUGAUUGUUUUAUGUUAUUGAAUUUGUUGGCGAUUAUUAUAUUGGAUUUAUCGCUCUCCUGAGAGAAAUCAAUGAAGCAAAGAGAUAAAUCAAGUUUUGAUUGGAUUCAUCAAGUUUUCUUUUUAUUGAUUGAUCUUGGGUUCUGUUUGUUCUGUGAUUAAAGUUAUGUUUUUUUCCAGAAAUUUUUGGCAGUGAUGAUUAAUAUACAGCUUUAAUGCCAGUUCUGCUACUGAAAAUUCUUGAUUGAUAGAGCUGUUAUAACUCUGAGCCAUUUAAUUUAUAGAUACAAAAUAGUUUGAAUAGCUUAUUACAUUGCAUCCAUUCAUGAAUUCCUUGUAUAUCUAUUUUUAAUGUUAAUAAAUAUGUAGGAGGUUUAAGGUUUUUGAGACUUGGCUAUGGUAAUUUUUGGUUUGAGCAAAAUUGUAAUGUAAGAUUGCCUAUGAUGAUAUAAUCCAAUUUGUUUAAGGUGCAGUGGAGCCAUGUCCCUGUUUAUCAGGGAGAACCUACUUGGUGGAAGCUACAUUACGAUGAUAUUAAUGGAUUUAACUGAGGUAAUUUGAUUUUGAAAUUUAUGUAGUGUUUGAUACGCUGUUAAAAGAUGGGUUAUACGAUACAAAGAUGUUUGGGGUAUCUUUGAAUAUUAUAAAAAUCAUUUCUCCACUUUUCUGGUGGAGAAAUUUUUGUUUAUUAAAAGAAUACGUUUGUUUAACUUAAAUUUAUGUGUUUGCGGUAUAAAAAAUACAGUAAGGUAUUUGGUUACACACCAAACUGUGUUUUAUAAUACGGGGCCUAUUAAAAAUUGCGUUUGAAACACAGUUUUUGUGAAGUAGUUUUUACAUGUUUUUUUUAACUAAGUUUCAUAAAAUGCUAUUUGUUUUUGCAUUUCAAAAGCACUUUUGAAAAAAUUUGAAAACUUUUUAUUUUUUUUACUUGAAAUUAAUAUUUUUUUAUUUUCAGAUUAAUUUGAUGCGUUGAUAUCAAAAAUAAUUUUUUUAAAAAUAAAAAAAAAUUAUCUUGAUUUAUUUUCAAGUAAAAAACACUUUGAAAAACAACCGCAACCACACUUCCAAACACAAUUGAACCAAACAUUUUAUACAUGUUUUUUGCUACACAUAAGCCUCAGCCAUAAUUUUUAUCAAACACGUAUCUAAAUUCAACUAAUCACACUUUUUAAAACUUACUUUUUUAAAACCGCAACCACAAAAGCUACCUAAAAAACAAACACACUUUUUAGGAGUAGAUCAAGCUUGUUCAGGGUUGUUUUUUAUUGAUAUAAAAAUAAAACUGGUUAUUAUUAUAGUUUUAAAAUUUAAAUAGUAGUCGAUCCAGAGCAAGUUCUGGAUUAUAAAUCAGGUUGAUUAUUGACCCGAAUCAAUGUAAAGAUAAAAAUAAUUAUUAUCUUAAUUUAAAAUUUAAUAUAAGUGAUGACCCAAGGCAAGACCUUAAUUAUAUGUUAAGAAGGUUGAUAAGGGUUGAUCCAAGUUAAGUUAAUAAAUGGAUAACAAUACCUUGGUUACAUUAUAGGAACGUCAGCUACGAUUGAUCCAAGUAAAGUUAAUGUACGGAUAAAAAUGAUUAUAAUAAUUGUUUUAAAAUCUCAUCCCAGAAGUUUAUUUGGGACAACGUCUAGUUAUGAGUCAAAAUGAUUAAUCCAAGUUAAUCUAAAUAAAUAAAAAAAACCAAAAUAAUCUUGUUUUGACCUUAAAAAAAAUCAUAGGUUUUUUAUCCAUGUUUUAUCUCGAAUCAACUUAGAUUUUUAAUUAGAUUAAGUUGAAUCAAUUCUUUUAUCCUUUUUAAAAUGGAUUGAUCCACUCUUGUAAUUCAGUGUUAAUCAAAUAUAAAAUAAAACAUAUUAUUUAAUCCAAAACAUACCAAACAUAAAACAAGACAAUCAAAACUAUUGACUACACCGAAACUAGCUUAGCGUUUUCUAUAGCUCAUUAAUCAUGGAAAAAAUAAACAAAUUGAAUUUCUUUUAUCUCUGUUGUUCAAAUUGAGUCUUAACUACACUCUUUACACCUUGUCAGCGGGAUUAGGGUCUGAAAAACUCUGUUGUCAUCAGCUUCAUCUCCUUCAUAACCCACCGGAUCGGAGUUAAAUAAUAGCACUACAUUAAUUUCUCAAAAUGUUUAUGUUCUGCUGUUUUAUAUACCCAUUUUCCUCCUUUUUUUUUAUUAUGUUGAACUUGUUAGCCUUCAUUCUAUGAUCUCUAUAUUGAAGGUGUUAGCAUUUUCCAAGUGCCAAAAUUGAAUUUUUCGAUCAUUGUACUCGUGAAAAGCAAGGUGAAAUAUCUGGAUAAAUAAAACUAUCGUUACAGCUGAUGCCAUCAAGAAGAUGACGAAAAUAUAGUUUAUAACACGAGCUAAUAUCAGACUCUUUUAAAGUCUGCUGUGAAGUGUUUAUUUUCAGUAUUUCAAAAGGGACCGUAAAUUAACCAUAAGAUGACGAGAAGAUAGUUUAUAACACGAGCUAAAUGAGAAUCAAUCUUCUUCAAUAUCAGACUCUUUUAAAAGUCUGCUGUGAAGUGUUUAUUUUCAGUAUUUCAAAAGGGAGCGUAAAUUAACCAUAAGAUGACGAGAAGAUAGUUUAUAACACGAGCUAAAUGAGAAUCAAUCUUCUUCAAUAUCAGACUCUUUUAAACUCUGCUAUGAAGUGUUUAUUUUCAGUAUUUCAAAAGGGAGCGUAUAUUAACCACCUUUGCCUCGAACGCAAAGAAGAUGAAGGCUACACCAAUGACACAAGUCGUGAUUGCAAGCCAUGAUGAUGUAGAUAGCACUGCAUAACUUCCUGUGAUGAAUGCGAUGACCAUUGCUGGGAUGGCACAUAUGGUUAAAGUAGAUGUCCAUUCAGAGAAGUUUUCUUUUAUAUCCUCUUCCACUUGAACUCUUGUUCCAAGCAGUGCCCAAUAAAAGUGCAUGAAGAGAGCAGAAAUUGAGAGAGCCAUUGCUAUUGCAUCUGAUAUAACAAAGACUGCAAAAGCAGCAUUUUUAACAAGAACUGCAGUGCCUUGUUCGUUCUUGUAACCACCAGGCACGGUGAAAGCAGCUGCAAAUGUUACUGUUGCUACGAGGGCCGCUACAACUAUAUGAGCAUCUAUUCCUCUCUCAGUAAUAGAGAGGUAGUCUGUUUUCAUCAUAGUUAUGGGCCGUUGAAGCGGUCCACUCCGUACAUCUUUCAAUGAUUCCAAAAACUCUUUCUGCAACAAGUUUCGGCUAUGAAAUUAAACGAAUCUUUCUUUUCGACUCUCAACCUUUGUUUGCUAUCAUAACCAGCGACUUUGAAAUCAAGUAAUUUUGUUGCUUUUAGCUACCAACAAUAUAUAUUGCUUUUGUUGCUACGAGAGCUGUUUUGUUUUUUAGUUUUAAAUUGUUUUUAGGUAUGAUUUAAAAGUUUUUUUAAUUUGAAAAAACAUCAAAUUAAUUUUUUUAUAUAUUUUUUGAUGUACUGAUAUGAAAAAUAAAAUAAAAAUAAAUAUAUUUUUAAUUUUUUUUUUUAAAAAAAAAACAUCUAAUACCAUGGUAUAUCAACCAACAUUAAAACAAAAGGAAACAAAGAAACCAACAUCAGUUUAGGGGACAAAGCAAAUAGUGUUAAUCAAUUAAAUUUUUUUUUUUGUUGAAGUUGAAGGUAUAAUUUUGUUAUAUUGCCAAAAGGAUUCUAUUCUAUUUUUAUUUUAUUUAAAAAAAAGGGAGAAAAACCAAGUGAAUUUAUGUUUGAUUGAUGUGCUUUAUUAAUGGUGCAUGCAUACGUAUUUAUUGUUACAGUUGAAGUUUUUUUUUUUUUAAGAAGAUUGAAUGAAUAUUAUAAAUUCUCUUGAUGCAUCCUUUGAUAUAUAUGAAAAAAAUAUUACAUCAUUCCUAUAUGACAAUUUAAAUUUAAUUUUUUUUUGGCAAGUUAGCGUUACACUUAAUCUUGCCAAAACAAAAUGCAAAGACUCUUUCGCGUGUACGAGUGCGACUAGUUAGAAGUCAAAUCGAGGGAAUUACCUUAUCUUCAGGAAAAUUUCCUACCAAGAUGUCAUCAACGCUGAGGUUUUGCUUGUUAAGGCCACACAUGUUCCUGUACGCAUGUCUCCAAUCACUACUCAAAUACCUCUGGGGAAAAUUGCGGAAAGCAGCAAAUAGAUGCAAUGGUGUGUUUCCAUCGUUAUCCUUCUCGUAUAUAAGUUUGUCAAAUUUAGGAAUCCAUCGAGAGAAAUAGAUAGCUACCAGUCCUUCUAUAGUUGUGGCAGCAUAGUGAAGGGCAUUCCAACCUCUGGUAUCCACUAGUUCACAAGAAGCUGGGCACAUGAUCAUAAUCACUCUCAUUGCUAGCAGAUUGCCUCGAACGACGGCCAUGUGAAGGGCAGUUCUCUUCUCUGAAUCAACAAUGUAGGCUGCGGACGCAUCAUGUUUUAGUAAUACUCUUACUGUUAGAAAACCAUUCAAUAAAGGGGAAAAGGCAGCGUAGUGAAGUGGUGACCACCCGUCAUCGUCGGUUCUUCUCGUCAAGCUCUCCUCUCUUUUUAAUAUCUUUCUUGCUGUCUCUGCAAUAAACCAUAAAAAAAAAUAUGGUACAUAUUAGGUAAUAAAUGAAUAAUAUUAUGGUUAAUGCGUAAUCUACGCUACUAAUUUAGUGAUAAGUUAAUAUUUAAUUUGGCAUUUUUCUCUCUUUAAUUGUAUUAUAAAUGCCCUUUCUUGCUUUCUACGUUCUUUGGUUCUUAUAGUCGCUAUUCAAUAUUGUUUAUGCAUCCUAUUAUUUUUUUUGUUUCUUAUUAUUUGGUCAUAUUUAAAAUAAUAAUAUGGAAAUAUCAACAACUCCAACUUCAUUUAAACCAGAUGACCAAAGUUUUUAAGAAAAACUAUAAACAACAAGAAUAAAGUUCAAUAUUAUUAUGAGCUUUUAAUUUUUUUUAAUAAAUACAAUUUAACCUUUAAUUUAACAAACAUACAAUGAAACCUCUAAUAAAAGAACAAUAUCCUAAAGGUUAAAAUAAGAUUUUUUAAGAAACUCAAAAUAAAUGACUUUAAUAAAUAACAAGAAACUAAAAUCUAAAAAACACAAUAUAUUGAGUACUAAACAGAUAAGGGUUUUUCUUGAAUUAAAAACGAAUUUAGUUUUUUUUUUUUUUGUACACCUUAAAUUAUGUAGGGACUACUUAAAAAUUAUAAGUUACAUCAGGAUUUGUUUGUAUUGAAUAAAAAUUCAGAAACAAUUUAAAUAAUUUAAGAUAAGAACUAACUUCUCACAGUUAUGGUUUCCGAUAAUAAUAUAUGAAUUCAAAACUUUACAGUUCAGAAUAAAAUCUUACCAUGAUCACCAUGCAUGGCUGCCGCGUGUAGUGCGGUUCUGCCAUGAGAACCACAAUAUUCCACUGACUUGCAAUUACUCAAGAUUUCGUCGAUCACUUUUUUUCUAUUUUCUUCAUGUCUUGUAAACCUCCAAUUCUUAAACCUUACAUUGGCAGCAAUAUAAUCAUAAUUAGAUAUAUAUGAUUUUUAUUGACAUUUUAAGUCCAAUAAAUAAGAGGUUUUUUUUAUUUACUCUUUUAUAAGAGAAAAAAAAAAUGCUACCAUUAUCAAAAUUCUUUUCCUUUUCAUCAUUUUUUUUGCCUUUCCGGGAAGUUUGCUUUAUAAAAGAGAAUUAAAAACCAUUAAAUUUUGCUAUUUUUUAUUGUUCUUAAAAAAAACAAUCAGGGAGAUAAGUGAACUUAUUCAUAUUGAAUUAAUAUGUCUCGAGUUCAAGAACAUACAUAGCAUAAAAAAAUAACCAGGUAAAAUCCUAUUAUUAUAGAAGCAUUGCUUUUCUAUUAUCUUUUAUGAUAAUUUUAAAAACAGAUUUACUUUAACAUUAUAAAGCUGAACAAAUUAAAAUUAAUCAUGCAACAAUUACAUUUAUAUAAUCUUAAAACGAUAGUAUUCUAGAUUGAUAAAUAGAUUAGUAAAAAAUUGAUUAAUCUAGUAUAUAUUAAAAGAAAAAAAAGAUGUUGGUCACAUAUAGUAUCGAAUCGGUAUCAAACUCUGUUUGAGACUAAAAAAAAUGUGCACAAACCUCAUAUUGGCAGCAAUAUAAAGUGGAGUUUCUCCAUGAACAUUGGCGGAAUAUGAAAACUCAGGGUCCUCUUUUGUCAAUAUUUCCACCACUUGGGCUUGGAUAUUUCGAGCUGCCACAUGCAACGCUGUAUCUUUCUCUUCAUUCGUCAUCCUCAACAUCUUCUUUGCUUCUGUUACUCCGCUCUCUAGAUCAGUAGGUCGAGCUUUUGCGCGGUCAAUGAGGACUCUUACCACGUUGGAACGCCCAUAUCUUGCCGCAAAAUGGAGUGGGAUUUCACCUUUCUUAUUGGCCUGCAAUAAUAGUGGUGGACACAUAUCAAUAAUUUGGCCAACAAAAUCAGUGGAUUUCGAUCCUUUACGUUGGUUUUCUAAGUAAACAUGAAGAAUUGUGUUUUUUUUUGGAGUCAAUAGCUCAUUGAGAGAAGUUGGAAGACGAUCCUUAAAUGGGUUGAUGUUGCCUGCUUCUGCAGCUUUGUACAAUUUUGGUUCCAUGUAAGUGAUGCUAUUCAUUUGUUGAUCAGAGGAAUUCAUCUUGUAUGACUGUUGUUUGUUGAAAAUUUUGGCUAGUUCCAUUUACUAGCUAGGCUUGUAAGCCUAUUUAUACUAAUUCAUCAAUAUGGAAAAAUAAAUAAAUAAAGCAGAGGAAGAGGAAGCUGUCUGAGUUCUGUUAGAGAAUAGAAUAAAAAUGAUUCUAGAAGUUUCACCUAAUGAUUUAAAUUUUUAUAUAUUCAAAAAUAUAAAACAAAUUAUAAAAAUAAAUUUAAAUUUUUAAGUUAAGAUGGUUAUUUAAUAUUUUCAAAUAAUAAAUGAUUUCUUAAAAAGUUAAAUUACAUGCUUAGGAAAUAGUAGACGAGUACAGAUGGAAAUAAAAAGAAAAUGAAGAGGAAACCAUUGUGAUAUAAGUCUUCUGGGAUACAUUAUUUUGAAGUAAGAUAUGCUUUAGCACAAUCAUAUUUCGUUUCUUUUCACUUUUUGUUGCAAUUUUCUCUGCCUUGCUGGGAAAUUAUGCAACAUAGGUAGUAAUUCAAAAACUUAUUAAGAACUCAAAAUUGAACAAAAAUAAUGACAAAAAAACCAAAAUAAUGCCAAAAAAAAAAACACACACACACACACACAAAAAAAAAAAAGAAAAAUAAAUGAAAACUUCUUCCCUUAAUGGCAUACUUAAUUCCAGCUAAGAGUUAAAAAACAAAAAGAAAAUAAAAGAAAUAAAUUGUUAAUAAACCCAAAAAUAAAUAAAGAAAGAAAGACAAUAUACCUGAGAAUGAGAAGAGAAGAGGAGGCUUGAUUUCGGCUGAGAAGGAGAGAGAGAGAUAGAGAGAAGAUAAUUGUUAGUUGAGAAGAAGAGAGAAUUAAGAAGAUGAUAUCUCAUUUGUUCUGAUCUGGUCUUUUUAAUUUAGAUUUACCAACGAAAUUACCAGCAAACUAUUAAAUAUUAAUAUUUUUAAUAUUUCCAAUGGUGAUUUUGUCUGUAAAGUCAAAUGAAAAUUUCCAACUUGUAUGAAAAUUCUUAAAAACCUCUCCAACUAUCACCAAUGACUUUUAAGUCCAUCGGUGAUUCCGUUAGGAAAAAAAAAGUAAAUAGUCAACAAUUACUAGAAGCAGUAAUUAUUAGCGUAUUGGAAUUCUUAUCGUCACUAGAAUACAACGACAGACAUAUUUUGUCAGUAUACCCGUGUGUAAUGUACACCAUGAAUAGUGACAGGGAGAAGGGAAACAUUUUCCAUCGUCACUAGAAUAUACCAACAAAAACAUUUUGUCCGUAUACCCGUGUAUAAUGUACAUUAUGUCAGUAUUUUCAUCAUUGUAAAACAAUGUUUGAUGCUAAAUUGUAUAUGUAUUCCUUAUCUAUCCAUCCUACAAAUACUUAAAUUCACAAGUGCACAUACAACACAAUAACAAUAGCUCACAUCACAAUAAUAAAACAAAUAUUUCCUUGUUAUUCAACAAUAAAUUAACAUCAUUGUCAUUAUAUUGAAGUGAGUUUCAUCCAUAAAUACUACAUUAUAAUUUAUGACAUUAUAUAUUCGUGUUGUGCAAAUUAAUUAGAAUUUUCUUCUUGUUCAUUAAUUGACUCGUCUUCAUCUCCAUCAUAAUCUUAUACAUUGAUUUCAUCAUUAUCAUCAUCUUCAUCAACUUGUGAAUGUUUGCGAAAGCUCAAAACAUCGAUCAACUCCUUAGCAUCAACAUCAACAUCAACAUCAACAAAAAUAUUAUUGACUAUGUGAAAUUUUAAAUUUUCUUCUAAGUCAUUAAACAAAACAACUUGAUGUGGAUCAACUAACUUUUCAAGUUAAAAGACAUCAUCUCCCACAAUUAAUUCAUUGUUCUCAUCCUGAACAACCUUGAUAUGACCCUUGAGUUUGGUUUUCACUACGAAUAAUCAAUCAACUUUUGAAUAAUCAUUUCUAAAAAAAAGGGUGUAUAUGUAAAAAACUUAUUAGUAUUGCUUGAUACAAACAAAGACAUCGUCGAAGUUGUAGAGUCUAGACUUUGAAUUAAUUUCAACCAAACCAUGAUGGUGAUCCUCUCUGAUUCCUCUGUUAUUGGUGUCAUACCAAUAUCAUUUAAAUAAAAAUACUUUAUCAUGCUCGCUAUAAUAUUGCAAUUCACUUACCUCUUCUAACUUCUCAUAAUAGUCAACUUCAAACUUAUUAGAAGUCAAUCCCUUAACACAAAGCCUACUAUUAUGUCUUUCUACCCUGCCCAUAUUUUUUAAUAUGAAACACAUGUCCAUUGAUGAAAUACCAGUUGUAACACUUCACAUUUCUUUUAGGAUCUAUACUUAGUAUAGAUAAAGUAACACCUGCAUUCCCUCCAAAUUGAUAAACAUGAUACAUGAAAUACAACCAUGAACAAUUAACGGGAAAUGUGUAAUGAAAUUAAGUAUCCCAAAAGAUAAGAAUAAUUAAACAGCACUAAUAUAUGUUUUGAACCAUGUGGAAAACUGUUCAUUUUGUAAUCGAAAUAUUUGAGAUUCAGUCUGCUAUGAAUUUUGGAACAAUAAAAAUUGAUGAUGUUUCCUAUAUAUAAUUCAAUAAUGUAUCAUUUUAUAAUAUUAUAAGAGAUAAAUUGAUCGAGAAUAAAGAAAUGUUAAGUAGUAUACUUACUGGAUAAAAGAUUUCAGUUCGGUUAAAUAGUUUGUGAAUUUUAUUUCUCACAAAUAUUUUCCCUCACAAUAUUUUUUAGUACAGGUCGUCUAGAAUGAGAUCAUAUUAACAAACUCCCACUAAACAACAUUUUAUGAACAUGUACAUGAUAUUUUAUGUAGAAUGAAAUGUUAUUAUAUACAUUGAAAUGUUGUUUUAUUUUAGGGUGUGCAUAACUUCCUAGAAAGUCAAAGUAUCAAUGUUUUCUCUUAUAAAAGAAUAAACAAAAGUGCAAAAAUAAUCACAUCUCUUUUCCUUUUCACUUUUGUAAUGUGAAAUCCUUUACCUUGCUAGGAAGUUAUGCUUUACACAAGGAAAUGAAGAAUAAAAAAAAUUUAAAUUUUUUUUAUUGUCCUUAAAAAAAAAUUACGUAGACAAAUGAGGUUUAUUCAUAUGAUAGAAGCAUUGCAUCUCCUAUAUAUAAUAUAUUUAUUAUAUCACUAUAAUAAAUAUAUUAUAGUGAUAUAUUAGAUAUGUUGUAAAAUUAAAUAUAAUAAACAGAAUUAAACUAUAACUUAAGGCGUAUAUAGACACUGUUUUAAAAGAUAUUUUCUCAACACAAGGUUGUUCUCCAGGAUCCAACAACUUCUUCAUCUAAAGACGAGAGUUACAUAAACAAGGACAAAGAUAGAAAAGAAAUACCAGCCAACCUUGCAAAUACAAAAAAAAAAAUAAUAUGAUUUUUUUUUCUUUUGCUAUAUUUGAUUGUAAGAGUAGAUGGUAUAUAUAGGCUACUAACAUGUAAUAGCUAGGUACAAAAUAAAUUAGAAAAUUAAAAAAUUAUUACAAUAGUUAAAGAAAUAAAAGAGGUUUUAGGGAAUUAAAAAGUUAUGGCUAUUAAUAAAAAUUAAAAAAAAAAGAGUUGUUAAAAAAAUAUUCACAAAAAUCUGAUUUCUUUGUAACCCAUUUCCAUUAGCACAGAUAUUACAUUAUUUAAGAAACUUGUGACCAUUUUCAAAUGCAAAUUUAAAAUUGUUUUGAAAAAAUUAAUAAUAUAUAUAUAGUCGUUUAUUGGUCGCAAAAUAUUGAUGAUAAAAUUCCUAUUUUGUAUGGAAUAAUUAAUUUUUCUAAUUAGAUAGUUAUUGCUAACUAAUAUUAUAGGAUCAUCAUAAUUUUUUUAAAAUAAUUAAUUUUCAUAAAAAAAACAUUAACAACAAUAAUAAUCAUAAUUUUCAAUAAUGAAACAAAAAUUUUAGCUAAAAUUUGGGAACAUUAAUUACAACCAAAACAAUCAGUACUAGAUUUGCUAUCAAAUAAAGUUCUAUUGAAUUUUUUUUAAAAAAAAUAUAAUAAUUUUUUGGAAUGAUUUGCUAAUCACAAAUAGAAAAUAAAGAGUUUAAAAACAAAAUGUGAUCCAAUUUUUUAGUUUCAUUCACUUCACUGAAUAGAGUUUUAUGAAUGUAUACAUAGCAUAUACAGUAAAAUGUUGUUUUAGUUUAGUAUAUGUUUCUAAGGGGGGUUGUGUGUGUUUGAUUUAAUUACUUUUUAAGUCCGACAAAUAUUGAUGUAGCGGGAAGAUAGAAAAAUUGCAGAAAGGAAGAAAGUAGUUUUUAUUAUUCUGUACUGGACAACAUAUAUAAUCAAAACGGUUCGUAUUUAAAGACAUCAGUACAAGAGUAAGAAAAGGAGGUAUGCAUAAUUAUAGCAGAUAUUCUUCAAGAGUUAUAGCAUAAUUUUUAUCAAGAUCAUGGCAGAUCAUGAGGAAGCUUGAUUUGGGAUUUCCUGAACGUAAGCUUCCUUCUCUGAAGCAUUUUCCUUAUCAGAAACCUUAACACGAGAUACUUAGAUAUAUACGAGUGUCAAGGUAUCAAUAUUCUUUAUUUAUAAAAAAGAAAAAAAAAAGAUUAAAAAAAAAAGAGCUAACAUAAUCACAUUUCUUCUUCUUCUUUUUUUGUUGCGAAAUCCUUUGCCUUGCUAGGAAGUUUAAAAGAGUAAGAAAAGGAUAUAUGCAUAAUUCUAGGAGAUAUUCUUCAAGAAUUAUAGCAUAAGAUUUAUCACGAUCACGACAGAUCAUAAGGAAGCUUGAUUUGGGAUUUCCUAAACGUGGGCUUCCUUCUCUAAAGCAUUUUCCUUAUCAGAAACCUUAACACGAGAUACUUAGAUAUAUACAAGUUUCAAGGUAUUGAUAUUCUCUAUUUAUAUAAAAGAAAAAAAAGAUUAAAAGAAAGAUCUAACAUAAUCACAUUUCUUUUCCUUUUCUUUUUUGUGUUGCAAAAUCCUUUGCCUUGCUAGGAAGUCUAAAAGAGUAAGAAAAUGAGAUAUGCAUAAUCCUAGCAGAUAUUCUUCAAGAAUUAUAGCAUAAGAUUUAUCAAGAUCACGGCAGAUCAUGAGGAAGCUUGAUUUGGGAUUUCCUGAAUGUAAGCUUCCUUCUCUCAAGCAUUUUCCUUAUCAGAAACCUUUACACGAGAUACUUAGAUAUAUACGAGUGUCAAUGUAUCGAUAUUCUCUAUUUAUAGAAAAGAAAAAGAAGAUUAAAAAAAAAGAUAUAACAUAAUCACAUUUCUUUUCCUUUUCUUUUUUGUGUUGCAAAAUCCUUUGCCUUGCUAGGAAGUCUAAAAGAGUAAGAAAAUGAGAUAUGCAUAAUCCUACCAGAUAUUCUUCAAGAAUUAUAGCAUAAGAUUUAUCAAGAUCACGGCAGAUCAUGAGGAAGCUUGAUUUGGGAUUUCCUGAACGUAAGCUUCCUUCUCUGAAGCAUUUUCCUUAUCAGAAACCUUUACACGAGAUACUUAGAUAUAUACGAGUGUCAAGGUAUCGAUAUUCUCUAUUUAUAGAAAAGACAAAAAAAGAUAAAAAAAAAAGAUAUAACAUAAUCACAUUUCUUUUCCUUUUCUUUUUUGUGUUGCAAAAUCCUUUUCUUUGCUAGGAAGUCUAAAAGAGUAAGAAAAUGAGAUAUGCAUAAUUCUAGCAGAUAUUAUUCAAUAAUUAUAGCAUAAGAUUUAUCAAGAUCACGACAGAUCAUGAGGAAGCUUGAUUUGGGAUUUCCUGAAUGUAAGCUUGUUUCUCUGAAGCAUUUUUCUUAUCAGAAACCUUUACACAAGAUACUUAGAUAUAUACGAGUGUCAAUGUAUCGAUAUUCUCUAUUUAUAGAAAAGAAAACAAAGAUUAAAAAAAAAAGAUAUAACAUAAUCACAUUUCUUUUCCUUUUCUUUUUUGUGUUGCAAGAUCCUUUGCCUUGCUAGGAAGUCUAAAAGAGUAAGAAAAUGAGAUAUGCAUAAUCCUACCAGAUAUUCUUCAAGAAUUAUAGCAUAAGAUUUAUCAAGAUCACGCCAGAUCAUGAGGAAGUUUGAUUUGGGAUUUCCUGAACGUAAGCUUCCUUCUCUGAAGUAUUUUCCUUAUCAGAAACCUUAACACGAGAUACUUGGAUAUAUACGUGUGUCAAGGUAUCAAUAUUCUCUAUUUAUAAAAAAGAAAAAAAAGAUUAAAAAAAAGAGCUAACAUAAUCACAUUUCUUCUCCUUUUCUUUUUUGUGUUGCAAAAUCCUUUGCCUUGCUAGGAAGUUUAAAAGAGAAAGAAAAGGAGAUAUGCAUAAUUCUAGGAGAUAUUCUUCAAGAAUUAUAGCAUAAGAUUUAUCACGAUCACGGCAAAUCAUGAGGAAGCUUGAUUUGGGAUUUCCUGAAUGUAGGCUUCCUUCUCUAAAGCAUUUUCCUUAUCAGAAACCUUAACACGAGAUACUUAGAUAUAUACGAGUUUCAAGGUAUCGAUAUUCUCUAUUUAUAGAAAAGAAAAAAAUAUUAAAAAAAAGAUGUAACAUAAUCACAUUUCUUUUCCUUUUGGUUUUUGUGUUGCAAAAUCAUUUGCCUUGCUAGGAAGUUUAAAAGAGUAAGAAAAGGAGAUAUGCAUAAUUCUAGCACAUAUUCUUCAAGAAUUAUAACAUAAGAUUUAUCAAGAUCACGCCAGAUCACGAGGAAGCUUGAUUUGGGAUUUCCUGAACGUAAGCUUCCUUCUCUGAAGCAUUUUCCUUAUCAGAAACCUUAACACGAGAUAGUUAGAUAUAUACGAGUGUGAUCAAAGUAUCGAUAUUCUUUAUUUAUAGAAAAGAAAAAAAAAAGAUUAAAAAAAAAGCUAACAUAAUCACAUUUCUUUUCCUUUUCGUUUUUUGUGUUGCACAAUCCUUUGCCUUGCUCGGAAGUUUAAAAGAGUAAGAAAAGGAGAUAUGCAUAAUUCUAACACAUAUUCUUCAAGAAUUAUAGCAUAAGAUUUAUCAAGAUCAUGACAGAUCAUGAGGAAGCUUGAUUUGAGAUUUCCUUAACGUAAGCUUCCUUCUCUCAAGCGUUUUCCUUAUCAGAAACCUUAACACGAGAUAGUUAGAUAUAUACGAGUGUGAUCAAAGUAUCGAUAUUCUCUAUUUAUAGAAAAGAAAAAAAAGAUUAAAAAAAAAGCUAACAUAAUCACAUUUCUUUUCCUUUUCGUUUUUUGUGUUGCAAAAUCCUUUGCCUUGCUAGGAAGUUUAAAAGAGUAAGAAAAGGAGAUAUGCAUAAUUCUAGCACAUAUUCUUCAAGAAUUAUAGCAUAAGAUUUAUCAAGAUCACGACAUAUCACGAGGAAGCUUGAUGUGGGAUUUCCUGAACGUAAGCUUCUUUCUCUGAAGCAGUUUCCUUAUCAGAAACCUUAACACGAGAUAGUUAGAUAUAUACGAGUGUGAUCAAAGUAUCCAUAUUCUCUAUUUAUAGAAAAGAAAAAAAAAGAUUAAAAAAAAAAGCUAACAUAAUCACAUUUCUUUUCCCUUUCGUUUUUUGUGUUGCAAAAUCCUUUGCCUUGCUAGGAAGUUUAAAAUAGUAAGAAAAGGAGAUAUGCACAAUUCUAGCAGAUAUUGUUCAAGAAUUAUAGCAUAAGAUUUAUCAAGAUCACGACAGAUCACGAGGAAGCUUGAUUUGGGAUUUCCUUAACAUAAGCUUCCUUCUCUUAACCAUUUUCCUUAUCAGAAACCUUAACACGAGAUACUUAGAUAUAUACGAGUGUCAAAGUAUCGAUAUUCUCUAUUUACAUAAAAGAAAAAAAAAGAUUAAAAAAAAGUGCUAACAUAAUAACAUUUCUUUUCCUUUUCUUUUUUGUUUUGCAAAAUCCUUUGCCUUGCUAGGAAGUUUAAAAGAGUAAGAAAAGGAGGUAUGCAUAAUUGUAGCAGAUAUUCUUCAAGAAUUAUAGCAUAAGAUUUAUCAAAAUCACGUUAGAUCACGAGGAACCAUUAUUUGGGAUUUCCUUAACGUAAGCUUCCUUCUUUGAAGCAUUUUCCUUAUCAGAAACCUUAACACGAGAUACUUAGAUAUAUACGAGUGUCAAAGUAUCCAUAUUCUCUAUUUAUAGAAAAGAAAAAAAAAGCUAACAUAAUCACAUUUCUUUUCCUUUUUGUUUUUUGUGUUGCAAAAUCCUUUGCCUUGCUAGGAAGUUUAAAAGAGUAAGAAAAUGAGAUAUGCAUAAUUCUAGCAGAUAUUCUUCAAGAAUUAUAGCAUGAGAUUUAUCAAGAUCACGACAGAUCACGAGGAAGCUUGAUUUGGGAUUUCCUUAACAUAAGCUUUCUUAUCUGAAGCUUUUUCCUUAUCAGAAACCUUAACACGAGAUACUUAGAUAUAUACGAGUGUCAAAGUAUUGAUAUUCUCUAUUUAUAGAAAAGAAAAAAAAAGAUUAAAAAAAUGAGCUAACAUAAUCACAUUUCUUUUCCUUUUCUUUUUUGUGUUGCAAAAUCCUUUGCCUUGCUCGGAAGUUUAAAAGAGUAAGAAAAGGAGAUAUGCAUAAUUCUAGCAGAUAUUCUUCAAGAAUUAUAGCAUAAGAUUUAUCAAGAUCAUGACAGAUCAUGAGGAAGCUUGAUUUGAGAUUUCCUUAACGUAAGCUUCCUUCUCUCAAGCGUUUUCCUUAUCAGAAACCUUAACACGAGAUACUUAGAUACAUACGAGUGUCAAAGUAUCGAUAUUCUCUAUUUAUAGAAAAGAAAAAAAAGAUUAAAAAAAUGAGCUAACAUAAUCACAUUUCUUUUCCUUUUGGUUUUUGUGUUGCAAAAUCAUUUGCCUUGCUAGGAAGUUUAAAAGAGUAAGAAAAGGAGAUAUGCAUAAUUCUAACACAUAUUCUUCAAGAAUUAUAACAUAAGAUUUAUCAAGAUCACACCAGAUCAUGAGGAAGCUUGAUUUGGGAUUUCCUGAACGUAAGCUUCCUUCUCUGAAGCAUUUUCCUUAUCAGAAACCUUAACACGAGAUAGUUAGAUAUAUACGAGUGUGAUCAAAGUAUCGAUAUUCUCUAUUUAUAGAAAAGAAAAAAAAAGAUUAAAAAAAAUGAGAUAACAUAAUCACAUUUCUUUUCCUUUUCGUUUUUUGUGUUGCAAAAUCCUUUGCCUUGCUAGGAAGUUUAAAAUAGUAAGAAAAGGAGAUAUGCACAAUUCUAGCAGAUAUUGUUCAAGAAUUAUAGCAUAAGAUUUAUCAAGAUCACGACAGAUCACGAGGAAGCUUGAUUUGGGAUUUCCUUAACAUAAGCUUCCUUCUCUUAACCAUUUUCCUUAUCAGAAACCUUAACACGAGAUACUUAGAUAUAUACGAGUGUCAAAGUAUCGAUAUUCUCUAUUUACAUAAAUGAAAAAAAAGAUUAAAAAAAGUGCUAACAUAAUAACAUUUCUUUUCCUUUUCUUUUUUGUUUUGCAAAAUCCUUUGCCUUGCUAGGAAGUUUAAAAGAGUAAGAAAAGGAGGUAUGCAUAAUUGUAGCAGAUAUUCUUCAAGAAUUAUAGCAUAAGAUUUAUCAAGAUCACAUCAGAUCACGAGGAACCAUUAUUUGGGAUUUCCUUAACGUAAGCUUCCUUCUUUGAAGCAUUUUCCUUAUCAGAAACCUUAACACGAGAUACUUAGAUAUAUACGAGUGUCAAAGUAUCCAUAUUCUCUAUUNNNNNNNNNNNNNNNNNNNNNNNNNNNNNNNNNNNNNNNNNNNNNNNNNNNNNNNNNNNNNNNNNNNNNNNNNNNNNNNNNNNNNNNNNNNNNNNNNNNNNNNNNNNNNNNNNNNNNNNNNNNNNNNNNNNNNNNNNNNNNNNNNNNNNNCAAGAAUUAUAGCAUAAGAUUUAUCGAGAUCACGACAGAUCACGAGGAAGCUUGAUUUGGGAUUUCCUUAACAUAAGCUUCCUUCUCUUAACCAUUUUCCUUAUCAGAAACCUUAACACGAGAUACUGAGAUAUAUACGAGUGUCAAAGUAUCGAUAUUCUCUAUUUACAUAAAUGAAAAAAAAGAUUAAAAAAAGUGCUAACAUAAUAACAUUUCUUUUCCUUUUCUUUUUUGUUUUGCAAAAUCCUUUGCCUUGCUAGGAAGUUUAAAAGAGUAAGAAAAGGAGGUAUGCAUAAUUGUAGCAGAUAUUCUUCAAGAAUUAUAGCAUAAGAUUUAUCAAGAUCACAUCAGAUCACGAGGAACCAUUAUUUGGGAUUUCCUUAACGUAAGCUUCCUUCUUUGAAGCAUUUUCCUUAUCAGAAACCUUAACACGAGAUACUUAGAUAUAUACGAGUGUCAAAGUAUCCAUAUUCUCUAUUUAUAGAAAAGAAAAAAAAAGCUAACAUAAUCACAUUUCUUUUCCUUUUUGUUUUUUGUGUUGCAAAAUCCUUUGCCUUGCUAGGAAGUUAUGCUUCACACAAGGAAAUUAACAAUGAAUGUAUUUUUGAAAACUUUUAUUGUCCUUUACAAACUAUUAGGAAGACAAGUGUGGUUAUUCAUAUUGAGAAUUUGUCAAGUUCAAGAGUAUAAACAACAUAAAAAAAACCGGUAGGUAAAAUCCUAUUAUGAUAGAAGCAUCUAAAUUAAUAAAAUAUUACAUUUUUUUAAUCUUAACAUCAUAGUAUUCUAGAUUACUUAAUUUUAUUAAUAAAUUAAUUAAUAAAAAAUUAAUUAAUAUAGCAUAUACUAAAUAAAAUUGUCGAUCAUAUCGUAUAGUUCGAACCGGUCUCAAACAAGGAAUGAGACUAAAAGAAUACUCACAAAAAUUUAAUUUCUUUGUAACCCAUUUGCAUUAGAACAAAUAUUUUGUAUUAAAAACAAUUGUGACGACCUUUCAAAUGCAAAUUUGAAAUAUAUUUUUAAAAAAACAUUAAUAAUAUAUAUAUAUAUAGGUCAUAUAUUGGUGGCAAAAAAAAACGAUAAAAGUUCUAUUUAGUAUGGGGAAUAAUUUAUUUUUAUAAUUAUAUAGUUAUUAAUAAUUAAUAUCAUAGUAAUCAUCAUCAUUUUUUAAAAAAUAAUUAAUUUUCAUAAAUAAUAAUAAUUUUCAAUAAUAAAAAAUAUUUUAAAAGUUUUGCUAAGAUUUGUGAACAAGAUUUACAAUUGAUCCCAAAUUUUCUAACAAAUAAAAUCCAUUUUUUAUUUUUUUUUAAAUAUUCAUUGUUUUGGAAUGAUUUGUUGGUCAUAAAUAGAAAAUAAAGAAUCUAAAACAAAUUUGUGAUCGAUUUUUUUAUUUCAUUCACUAAAUAGCAUUUUAUGAAUUUGUGCACAAUAUUUUAUGUACAAUGAAAUGUUAUAUGCAUUUAAAUUGUCGCACCCUUGCUAGCGGAGCGCGGCGGAGCGGCGAUUCUCGAUUGAUUUCGGUGUCUUUGUGUUUUAUUGUGAAUAAAGGAGUCGCCACUUAGUAUUAUGGUCACUAGGAGCCCUAACUGGUCUUUCAAAGAUUCUAAGGCAAGAGACUGGUUGCAUAAAGGGAAGGUAUUAGCAUUCCUAGUACGCCCUACCUAAGGUAAACUGCUUGGUGUUUGGUUUGCCUUGUAAUUGCUAUGGUGUUGGUGUUCUCUUAAUUAGUUUUUGUAUGCUAUGAUGAAUGGAUUUGGGUUCAAAAUCUAAAAGCAAAAAUCCUUGGCCAAUAUAGAUCAUACCUUUAGAUAUGUUUACAAAGUGUCAAGGGGAACCAAUACAGAUCUUUUGAAAUCUGUGUUUGAUUCAGACUAAACUUAUUAAGAUAAAAAUCCAAGGAGAUUCCAUGUGCUUUAAAAGCUCAUUUUUCCCUUAGUAUUUCAAGAGUUUUGCGACUCGUAAAUCGCAAGGAGAAGAGACAAAAAUUUAGAAAUCUAAGGAAAUUCAGAGCGCUUUAAAAGCUUCUUUUUGCCUUAGUAUUUCAUACUUUUACGGCUCGUAAACCGUGGAAUCAAAAAAUUGAAAUGCCCUCAAUUAUAAUCGAGGCUUCUUUCAAGGAUGUUAGAUAACUUAUUAUUCCUAAAAAAAUAUUUUAGAUAUUAACCACUUGCGGUUUCUUUAUCCAAACAUUAACAUCGAAUAAUAACAAGUUAUUCCCAAUAAUAUUUUGGAUAUUCAUCCAUUUGAAAUUUCUUUAUCCAAACAUUAACGAUGAAUAAUAACAAUUUAUUCCCACAGAUAUUUUGGAUAUUCAUCCCUUUGAGAUUUCUUUAUCCAAACAUUAACGGUGAAUAAUAGAUGAAUUCCAUCCAAAAUAAGAUUUUUAUAUUUUUUGGAAUAUUGACCAAUACCCUUUGAAGUUUUACAAACAUGUUGUAAAAUCCAGAAAUGCAAGAAAAUAAUUUUUUGUUGUGUUUAAGAAAUCCAUGAAAAACAUAUUUUUCAAAAACUUCAAAUAUUUGUUUUUUAUAUAUAUAUAUAUAUAAAAACAUUCAAAACAUAUUAGAAUAUUGAUCGUAUGCAACACACAAAAACAAUUUUUAUAUUUUUCUUUGUCAAAAAACACAAACAUCACAAUUAAUCACAAUUAAAGUUAACAAACUACAUAUUAAUCAAAUUUUUAAGGCUUUAAUAAAUCAGUUAUUAAAUCCCAACAAAAUAUGUAAAAACAUAUUCUUACAUUUUCACAGAAAAUACAACAUAAUUUUAUUUAUCCCUAAAAUACUUGAUCAUAUACAGAUUAAAACAUUAAAUUUUUAUCUUUUUGAUUUUUAUAAUUCAACAACAUACAUAAAAAAAAAAUACAAACAAACCCACAUCUCUUUUUAUUAUGUUUUUCUCAUACACCAAUAUAUAAUUACAAAUAAUAAACAAAAAUUUAAAAUAAAACAAACAUCACACAAAUAAAAACUCACAUAAUAGCCCCUAAAAAUAUCCAAGAACCUGCUGAGAGGCUUCUGGACCAUAAAAACAGUGGCGGCGCGUCUCCUCCACGCGCCGCCGCCACUGGCGGCGCUUGUCGUGUGUUCACGCGCCGCCGUAAGAGAAACAAGGGGGCAGGGUGGAUAUGACUUGGCUUCCUCCCUUCCUCGCCGGCGGUGACCUGUAACAAGAAAAAGAAAACGCAGGCAGUUGAUUUUAAUCUAUUCUGUCCAGAUUGUUCUUGUGUUUUUUUCUUUUUUUAGAUCUGUUAACUUCUGUCUUCUUUCUUCUUCUCAGUUAGCUGUUCUUUCCUUCUUGUCCCGGUGGCAAGUCUGGCGGUUGGGCGGCGGCGGCGCUGAUGAUCUCCAACUCCUGUUGGUUGCCACGGCGGCUGGGUUUGCUGCUGGAGGAAGACGGCGCUGCUGCCCGGGGAGAGGGAGUCGUGGCUGGUCCGUUGUUGAGGUCGACGGUGAGGGAAUAGACGAGGUCCGUAAGCUACUGAAUCUCCAGUGAUGGCAGCGCUGUUGUGGCUGUUGUUUUGACCGCUGCUACUGUAGGCCGAAUGGAGGGGGGACCUGCGUUGUGUGGCUGUUGGGUGGAGGAUUUGGGUCUGUGAGGCGGUUUUGUUUCUGUGUGUGGGGAAGAAUGUAUCGCCUGUCGGGCUGUUGGGUGGAGGAGAUCGGGGAAGAAGAGGAAAGACGACUUGGGUUCUGUGAGAGGGGUCCGGCCGCUGGUCUGCGGGGCUUUUGUCGGGUCUGGAGGUGAGAGCGGCGGCUGGAGGAGGUGAGAGGAAAGGGAGGGGGCGCCUGACUGAAAGGAGAAGAAGCCGAAAAUCAAAAGCCCCAAAGCCAGGGGUUUCUCUGGUUUUUUCUUUAGAAGCGGGGCGGCAGUCAGGGUCUUCUGGUUUGCUGCCAAAGGAAAGGGAAAUGAGGGGAGUGGAGAUGGUCCACAAGAGGCAGGCAAUCUCUGGUUUGGUUUCAACGAGAGUGGGGUGCGGCCGACCUCUGUCAACAGGGAAAUGGAGGCUUGCGGCUGUUGAGAGAAAAUUUUAGGUUUAGGGUUUUUUCGUAGUUGUUCUAAAUUUUUGUUUAAAAAUUGCUCCCCUGUAAAUUUUUCUUCUCGUGCAUAUGACUUGAUGUUCAUUUAUAUAAAAAAAAAUUACACGUGAUAUUUAAAAAAAUAUUUUAAUAAUUAUUACAGUGAUUAUUUUCCAUAAUCAGCACAAAUCAAAUUAUAUAUCUAUGAUAUAUUAUAUUACAGUGAUUAUUUUCCAUAACCAGCAUGAAUCAAAUCAUAUAUCUAUAGUAUUUUAUAUUGCAGUAAUUAUAUAUGAUUCAGUAAUUAUUUUCUUGACAUAUUAUUUCUUUAAUAUUAGCCAUAAUAUUCUAUGUUAUUGUCACAUGUAAACCCUUAUUUUUUUAUUAUUAUUUUUAAAAAAUUAUUAAAACAUGGAUCAAAAAUUGAGUAGCAAUUAAAAUGUUGUUUUAUCUUAAGUUGUGUGUGUGUUUUAUUUACUUUUUAUAAUAUUGAUGAUUACAUUGGAAUUUAGAAAAUGAUGCGAGGACGAAACAAGAAGGUGGAAUUAUGUUUUGGUCCCAUCAAAUUUGAAAAAAUUAUGUACUUUCUCAUGAUGGUUUGUAAUUUGUGAAUUGGCCCUUACACUUUCUUCUUGUAUUCUUUUUCUUCUUUCAUGUUCCAUUUUCUUCUUGGCAUUCCGCCAAAAAAAACACAAACAUCUUUAUUUGUGAAGGUACUACUCUCUCGGUUGACUGCUCUCUCCUCUCGGUUUGUUGCUUACUCUUCUCUUAGCCUGUUGUUUUUUCUUCUACUAUUUUAUGGAGGAUUAUGCUUUCAUCGUUUGAAAUGUUGGUGUGUGUUAAUUAAUUUGACAAAUAAUCUUACGUUUGAUCAUUGUCAACUUAUUAAUCAAUAGUUAAUUACUUGAUCAAUAUGCUACUUGUUCUUGUUUUUUUCCUUUCAAUAAAAAAAAGACUAUAAUUAGAAAAUUAAUUCUAAAUUGAGACAUAUAAUAGCCUUACUAAUCAAACAUAAAAAAAUAAUAAAUAGUUAAAAACUAUAAAUAAAUUAUAUAUAUAGGAAUGGGGCAUCAUUUCAAGUUGGUGGAUGGCGUAUUUAUAUUGUUAUAGAGAUCAAAUUUCAUGUAAAUAUAAAAUCUUAAUCUUAUACAAAUUAUCUAUAAUUGAUAAGGAUUAUACAAUUUAUUAUUUGCAUUAAUUCUAUGUGUUUAUAUCAAUCAGUAAUAUCCAUAAAUGUAGCAUAACUUCCUAGCAAGUCAAAUUAAGUAUCAAUAUUUCCUUAUAUAAAAAUAUAAACAAAAGUGCAAAAAUAAUCACAUCUCCUUUCUUUUUCACUUUUGUGUCGGGAAAUCCUUGACGAAGUUAUGCUUUACACAUGGGAAUUAAGAAUAAAAAAAUUUUAAUUUUUUUUAUUGUCCUUAAAAAAACUUACGUAGACAAGUGAGGUUUAUUCAUAUUGAGAACUUCUCAGGUUCAAAAGCAUAGACAACAUAAAAAGAAAAAGGAAAAAAAAAAGGCAGAUAAAAUCAUAUCUAUGAUAGAAGCAUUACAUCUCACAUCUUUUAUGAUAAAUUUUUUUUUAAAAAAAAAAGCAGAUUUACUUAAACAUUAUAGAGUUAAACAUAUCUAAUUUAAUCAAUAAUUACAUUUAUAUAAUCUUAAUAUGAAAAUAUUCCAGAUAAAUGAAUUUAAUUAAUAAAUCAAUCAGUAAAUUGAUUAAUCCAUCAUAUACUAUAAAAAAACGUUGUCAUCACUUAUAGUCUCACAAGGUUAGAUAUUGGUCGCAAAAAAAUAUUAAAAUUUCUAUUUAGUAUGGAAUGGUUAAUUCUCCUAAUUAGAUAAUUAUUAAUAUUAUAGUAAUCAUCAUCAUUCCAAACAUACAUUGGUUACCAAAAAUAAAUAAAUAAAAGUGAUAAAAUUUCUAGUUAGUGUGAAAUAAUUGAUUUUCCUAAAUUGAUAAUUAUUAAUAAUCAUAACAUUUUAAAAAAGAUGACGAUGAUGAUAUUUAAAAGUUAUUAAUUAUCAUCACAUUUUUUAAAAUCUAGGUUUGUUCCUUUUGGCUUGAAAAUUAUUUUAGUUUGUUUGAUUUUUGUAUUUUUUUGUAUUAUUGAUUCUAAUAAUAUUUUUAAAAAAAAUCUCAAAAGAUGUAUCUCAACCAUAUCUCAAAAUCUAAAAUUAGAUGAAAUUGUCAUUUUGAUCAUUUAAAGCUAAAAUGAUAUUAUGCUUAUUAAACAAUCUAAAUAAAUAAAAGAGAAAUACGAAAACAAGAGAGAAGGAGGUUACUGUUUUAUUGAUAUUGCAUUGAAGGGACAUGUUUAACAUAAAUACAAAGAGAUUAUAUAUAGGCUAAAUUGAAAAGGAAAAUAAGAAUAUUAUUCUACCCUUAGUAAAUAAAACAAAAUAACUUAUAUUUUUUAACAUAUCCCCUCAAACUUAUGAUGCGGCAGCUACAAAUAUCGAGAGUUUGCCAACUAAAAAAUAAAAAAUAGAAAAUAGAAUGCGACUUGGUAAAUAAAUCUGCAAAGAAGAAGAAACAAAAGGCAAAGUAAUGGUGUCAUGCUUGAGAUGAUGACGAGUAAAAUGACAAUUGAUCUCAAUGUGCUUAGUUCUAUCAUGAAAAACUGAGUUGUGAGCAAUCUGAAUAGAACUUUGAUUAUCACAAUACAUAAGAGUGGGAUAAGAAAGGGAAACUCUCAUAUCUGCAAGUAACCAACGUAACCAAACAAUUUCUUUAGUAGUAGAUGUUAUAGCACAAUAUUCUGCUUCAGUUGAGUAUUGAGAAAUAAUAGAAUGUUUCUUGCUUUUCCAAGAAACAAGAGAAUCACUUAAAAAGAUACAGAAACCAGUAACAGAUUUGCGAUCUGUAGGAUUAUUACCAUGAUUAGCAUCAGAGUAUACACACGGCUCUAAGAAAGAGAUGGAUAGAAAAGUAAAAGACUUUGAAAAACUGUACCUCAAAGAUAUCACAAAAUACAAAGAACAGUUGUCUAAUGAAAGGUAGUAAAAUAAGUAACAAACGAACUAACAAUAUGAACAACAUAUGCAAUAUCUGUAUAAGUAAUAGUGAGAUAUACCAAGCUCCCAACAAUAGUACGGUAUAAAGUAAGAUGUGACAAGGUAAAUCAUCAGAAGAAGAAUACUUCGUGUUAACCUUAAUGAGAGUAUCUACAGUCUUAUUAUUAGUAAGUCUAGCCUGCUCAAGAAUAUCUACUAUAUAUUUUGACUGAAAAAGAAGAUAACCUAUGGGUAAGUAUGUUACCUCAAUACUUAGGAAAUAUCGUAGAGAAUCCAAAUCUUUCGUUUCAAACUAUUUGGCUAACUUUGUCUUCAAAACUGAAAUACUAUCAAUAUCAUCACCAGUAAUAAUUAUGUCAUUAACAUAUAAAGACAUAAUGAUACGACUUAUAUCAAUGCACUUAACAAAAAAAGCAGAAUCAUGACUACUAAAAACAAAACCAAGGGAAGAGAUCACAAUAGAGAAUUUUUCAAACCAAGCAUGAGGUGCUUGUUUGAGAUCAUAUAAUGAUUUCUUAAGCUUUCAAACAUACUCAGAAUCAUGUGAAAUACUUAAAGGGGCACCAUAUAAACAUCUUCAUGAAGAUCUCCAUUCAAGAAGGUAUUUUUAACAUCAAGUUGAGAUAUAUGCCACUGACGAACCGAAGCUACUACAAUAAGAGUAUGAAUAGUAGUCAUUUUUGCAACAUGAGCAAAUGUCUCCUCAUAAUCCAUACCAUAUUGUUGAGAGUAUCAUUUUGCAACCAACCCAGCUUUGUAUCACUCAAUAGAUCCAUCAAAAUUAGUCUUGAUCUUAUACACCCAGCGACAACAAACAUCACUCUUACCAAAAGGUAGAGGAAUCAAAUCUCAAGUAUAUGUUUUAUGCAAAGCAUAAAGUUUCUCAUCCAUAGUUUGCUGUCAAAGAGGAUCAAAAAUUCUCUUUCUAUAGGAAGAAGGCUCAGAAAAACAAUGAAUAGAAGGUAAACAAGAAGUAAAUGAUAAGCAAUAACAAGAAUAAGCAAAAUCUAGUAACUUUGUGGACUUAUGAAAGCAUAUGGAUUGACGUAGAGGUAGAUCCACAAUCUCAAACAAAGGUGGAGGGAUCGCAGAGGAGAAUGAAGCAACGUGCCUAUAUUUUAUUUUAGUAACGUUACUUUGCUUAGAAAUAUUUGUACACAAGGUUUGGUAAAUAGUUUCAUCUAAGCUAAGCAACUCACAAAAUUUAUUAAAAAUAUAUUUUUCAUUCAAAUUACAUCUAAAAUAUUUAAUAACAACGGAAUGUUAUUACGGUGGAGCACACCAUUAUAAAAAAUUUUCAAUUACAGUAACACUUCUAUUAUAAAAAGUAAAAAUAAAUUAUUGACCCACAGGUUGCUUAAUUUCUAACGUACGGUGGAGCACACCAUACGAAAAACACAGCUAGCUGAACAAAUCUCAAUUCCACCAAAAUUGUGAAUGGACAAAUAUCUAUAAGUUUCUGUUUCUGAUACAUAUGUAAUAACAGGAUCUCUCUAAGACUCUUUUAACCAUGAGAUUUGAAAGCUUCUGUACAAACCUCAAAAGGUAGGGAAAGCUAAUUUUACAGCGAACAGAACCUCAAAAAUCUCUUUAAAAAAUCUAAGUUUGAUCUAAAUGAGAUUGAAAAUUAUAUCUUUUAUUGUAAGGAUACAUGUUUAAUCAAAAUCUCCUACAGUUUCUUUUUCUUGUGAUCUCACAUGCAUGAUCUUUUUCAUUUGUAGUACCAUGAAAUGACAGUUCUUCAUCUAAUUACCUGUUAUAUAGUAAGUAUCUUCAGCAUGCCUUUCAAAACAAUUGGAAUACCGCAAAAAUGAUAUUAUGAUUUAAUUAACCCAAUUGUUGAUAAUUGGAUAGCAUUUCACUCACCAGAAUCUAACAGAUACUCUUGAUAGUUUCAUAUUUAUGUAAUGUUUGAUAUUGUGAUAAUAGUUGUUUUUAAAAUGUUUUUCGCUAGGAAAUAUAUUAAAAUAAUAUUUUUUAUUUUUUAAAAAACUAUUUUUAACAUAGCACAACAAAACAAUCCAAAAUCAUAAAUAAAAAAAAAACAAAACAAUCUAUAAAUAAAAAAAAUAAAAAAAUAUUAUUCCUUUUUUUCCUCAUUGGAAAGGCCUUGUACUCGGGGCAAAAAAAAAAAACUACCUACUUAAUUUCUUGACCCUGGAAAGGUACCUGAGGUAUGGUUAGCAUAAUUAUGGCUAAAUGUAUCAAAUUAUAGUCUACUAAUUAGAUAGCUAUAAUUGAAGGAAAAACAAAAGUGAUCUUUUUACUAGUUGAUAGAAUCCUGCAUCAACCAGCAAACUCCAUAUCAAUUGACAAUAGUCAAAAGACCUAUCCAAGCUACUUUACAUCAUAUACAAAGGAAAUUGAAUAGCAGAAAAGUACUUGUUUUCCUUGAAAAUAUUAAUGAUCGUGUAGGAUGUUGUUACCCAUUUUUUGAUUCCUAUAAAAAAAUAAGAAAAUACAAAAAACAAUAUUAAAAAAUAUUCAAAAGAAAUCCAAAAAAUAAUAGGAGCGAGAAAAAAAAGCUGGAAUGCUGAAAAAAUAACAAAAUUGGUUGAGGAGGUUCAAAAAUACAAAAUGUUGAAAUUUGACAAUAGAUUUUUGACUGAUGAGAGCCCUGUUGACAAAAAAAAUUCAAGUUGAGGAAGAAAAGUCUAAAAUCAGAUGUUUAUAGACUCAAUUAAAUUUUAUCUAAGAUUUAAUUGAAUUUAUGGAGGGUUUGAUUGCAAGAAAAAUUAAUUUUUAAGUCAAUUUAGAUUUUUAUUGGAAGAAAUUAAAGUUUUGGGGUCCAAUUAUCAUUUUGAAAAGGGACUUAAUUGCAUAAUUAUUGAAGUUUGAUGAUCAAUUAGGGACUUAAUUGAAACAAUCCGAAACCAAGGACCAGACCAGAAAAGACGUUAAAAUCAAGGGAUCCAAUUACAAUUCAUACUGGGGCUUGAUUACAAAAUUUUCAAAACAGCCAAGGACCGAAUCAAAAAUAUUCAUUUUGAAAUUUUGAAACGGCACCGUUUCCACUAUUCAUUGUCUCCUUCAAAGAGAGUCGUUUUCAGCAUUAAAACAGGGAUAUGUUUUGCAGCAAAUUGCUCCAAUUAUGGGGCAUGUUUUAUGGCUGCUAUCCUAGCGACCGUUACCACCACAGUGCUUUCCUUGGGCUAUAAAAGCCAGAGGAGGAAGUAGGAACCGUCGCCAGGGGAGGGAAAAGAGAACAAAAGGAGGAGGAGAAGGCAACGAGACAUAAAGGAAAAAAAAACAGAGAGAAGAGAGUGUAAAGAAGAGAGAGGCAGAGGGAGUGAGUAGGAUAAGAGAGAAAACAAAGAGAAGGCGAAACCAACAGAGGAGCCGAGUGACCAUCAGAAAACGCGACACCAACAAAGGAGUUGAGCCACCACCUGCUCUAUCUUUUCCAGAACGAGGAAAUAACAGAGGAAGCCACCAUCACCAUCGGCUUCACUUUCUUCAGAACCAGGGAACCAGCAGAGGAAGCCAGCAUCACCAUAGGCUUUUCCUUCUCCAGACUCACGAAGCCAGCAGAGUAGGUCAGCACAACCAUCGGCCUCCUUUCUCCAAAACCAGGUCUGUUUCUCUUCCAUUCUCCGCCUCUGCAAAAAAUGAUGCAUGUUACUGUGCAAAGGUAAUUUAAUUACCUUCGUACAGUUCAUGCACGAGUGAAGAAAUUCACGCGUGCUUUAGGUUGUUUAGCCGGGUCACUGGUUUGGGCCAGUGACCCAGCCAGGCCUGCUGGGUCCAGCCCUGCCACAUGGGCCGGGCUGGGCCCAACCAAAAAAAAUUUCAAAAAAAAAAUCCUUUAAAAAAUCUGUGAUUUUCCAGAAAUUUUUUUACUGCAUUUUGAUUAAUAUUAGUUUGUAUUUUUAUAAUGUAAAGAUACAAAUCCGGUAUUAAAAUACCCGGUUUUCGUAAAAAAAAUGUUUUGUUUUCAUGCAUACGGCCAAGUCUCUCAAAUAUAUAUAUAAAAAAUCAUAUUGUAUUUUCAUAUAACAAAUAAAAUUUCAAAAAUAUGUAUCAACAUGCAUUUUAGCUUUAAUAACCAGUUUAUUAAAGUCACGAGAACUAGACUAAUAUUUUAAAAAUUCCAAAAACAAUUAUAUUUUUGUUUUCUUUUAGUAUAUGGGGUUACGACCUUAUACGUAAGACGUAUUCCGGAUAUUAAAUUUUUUUGUUGACGUCAGAAUUACCCGAUAAGAUAAGGAUCUCCUUACUGAGGAUGACUUUUUUUAAACCAUAGACGGACCAACAACUAGAAAACACGACAAGAUCUUAGAUUUUAUUAGACAAUAAAACAAUGCAGCUUACCUUAGAUAGGGCGUAUUUGGUGUGCUAAUACCUUUCCUUUACGCAACCAGUCCUCAUACCCGAUCACUGAGACCAGUUAGAGUUCCUAGUGACCAAAAUACUAGGUGGCGACACCCAUUCCAUUUUUCCACUAAUAAAAGACAAGAAUUUCUUGUCUCCCCACAUUUGCCACAUUUUUAGAUAAUACAAAAUUUUGAGGGUUGAUAUUUUCGCCGCGAUGCCGCACACGUGCGACAUAGGAUAUGAUAUUAUUAAAUGAAAGUACAAAUUAAUCAUUGCACAUUUCUUUUACUUGUUUUCUCAAUUUAUAUAAAAGAAAAAAAGAUUAAAAAAAAGAACUAACAUAAUCACAUUUCUUUUCCUUUGUUUUUUUGUGUUGCAAAAUCCUUUGCCUUGCUAGGAAGUUUAAAAGAGUAAGAAAAGGAGAUAUGCAUAAUUCUAGCAUAUAUUUUUCAAGAAUUAUAGCAUAAGAUUUAUCAAGAUCACGACAGAUCAUGAGGAAGCUUGAUUUGGGAUUUCCUGAACGUAAGCUUCCUUCUCAGAAGCAUUUUCCUUAACAGAAACCUUAACACGAGAUAGUAAGAUAUAUACGAGUGUCAAAGUAUCGAUAUUCUCUAUUUAUAGAAAAGAAAAAAAAAGAUUAAAAAAACGAGCUAACAUAAACACAUUUCUUUUCCUGUUCUUUUUUGUGUUGCAAAAUCAUUUGCCUUGCUAGGAAGUUUAAAAGAGUAAGAAAAGGAGAUAUGCGUAAUUCUAGUAUAAAGUCUUCAAGAAUUAUAGCAUAAAAUUUAUCAAGAUCACGGCAUAUCACGAGGAAGCUUGAUGUGGGAUUUCCUGAACGUAAGCUUCCUUCUCUGAAGCAUUUUCCAUAUCAGAAACCUUAACACGAGAUACUUAGAUAUAUACGAGUGUGAUCAAAGUAUCGAUAUUCUCUAUUUAUAGAAAAGAAAAAAAAGAUAAAAAAAAAAGCUAACAAAAUCACAUUUCUUUUCCUUUUUGUUUUUUGUGUUGCAAAAUCCUUUGCCUUGCUAGGAAGUUUAAAAGAGUCAGAAAAGGAGUUAUGCACAAUUCUAGCAGAUAUUCUUCAAGAAUUAUAGGAUAAGAUUUAUCAAGAUCACGACAGAUCACGAGGAAGCUUGAUUUGAGAUUUCCUGAACGUAAGCUUCCUUCUCUGAAGCAUUUUCCUUAUCAGAAACCUUAACACGAGAUAGUUAGAUAUAUACGAGUGUGAUCAAAGUAUCGAUAUUCUCUAUUUAUAGAAAAUGAAAAAAAGAUUAAAAAAAAGUGCUAACAUAAUAACAUUUCUUUUCCUUUUCUUUUUUGUUUUGCAAAAUCCUUUGCCUUGUUAGGAAGUUUAAAAGAGUAAGAAAAUGAGAUAUGCAUAAUUGUAGCAGAUAUUCUUCAAGAAUUAUAGCAUAAGAUUUAUCAAGAUCACGAAAGAUCACGAGGAAGCUUGAUUUGGGAUUUCCUUAACAUAAGCUUCCUUCUCUGAAGCUUUUUCCUUAUCAGAAACAUUAACACGAGAUACUUAGAUAUAUACGAGUGUCAACUAUCGAUAUUCUCUAUUUACAUAAAGGAAAAAAAAGAUUAAAAAAAAGUGCUAACAUAAUAACAUUUCUUUUCCUUUUCUUUUUUGUUUUGCAAAAUCCUUUGCCUUGCUAGGAAGUUUAAAAGAGUAAGAAAAGGAGAUAUGCACAAUUCUAGCAGAUAUUCUUCAAAAAUUAUAGCAUAAGAUUUAUCAAGAUCACGCCAGAUCACGAGGAAGCUUGGUUUGGGAUUUCCUUAACAUAAGCUUCCUUCUCGGAAGCAUUUUCCUUAUCAAAAACCUUAACACGAGAUACUUAGAUAUAUACGAAUGUCAAAGUAUCGAAAUUCUCUAUUUACAUAAAAGAAAAAAAAGAUUAAAAAAAAGAUCUAACAUAAUCACAUUUCUUUUCCUUUUCUUUUUUGUGUUGCAAAAUCCUUUGCCUUGCUAGGAAGUUUAAAAUAGUAAGAAAAGGAGAUAUGCACAAUUCUAGCAGAUAUUCUUCAAGAAUUAUAGCAUAAGAUUUAUCAAGAUCACGACAGAUCACGAGGAAGCUUGAUUUGGGAUUUUCUUAACAUAAGCUUCCUUCUCUUAACCAUUUUCCUUAUCAGAAACCUUAACUCGAGAUACUUAGAUAUAUACGAGUGUCAAAGUAUCGAUAUUCUCUAUUUACAUAAAAGAGAAAAAAAGAUUAAAAAAAAGUGCUAACAUAAUAGCAUUUCUUUUCCUUUUCUUUUUUGUUUUGCAAAAUCCUUUGCCUUGCUAGGAAGUUUAAAAGAGUAAGAAAAGGAGAUAUGCAUAAUUGUAGCAGAUAUUCUUCAAGAAUUAUAGCAUAAGAUUUAUCAAGAUCACGUCACAUCACGAGGAACCUUUAUUUGGGAUUUCCUUAACGUAAUCUUCCUUCUCCGAAGCAUUUUCCUUUUCAGAAACCUUAACACGAGAUACUUAGAUAUAUACGAGUGUCAAUCAAUAUUCUCUAUUUAUAGAAAAGAAAAAAAAGAUUAAAAAAAAAGCUAACAUAAUCACAUUUCUUUUCCUUUUGUUUUUUUGUAUUGCAAAAUCCUUUGCCUUGCUAGGAAGUUUAAAAGACUAAGAAAAGGAGAUAUGCAUAAUUCUUGCAGAUAUUCUUCAAGAAUUAUAGGAUAAGAUUUAUCAAGAUCGUGACAUAUCACGAGGAAGCUUGAUGUGUGCUUUCCUGAACGUAAGCUUCAUUCUCGGAAGCAUUUUCCUUAUCAGAAACCUUAACACGAGAUACUUAGAUAUAUACGAGUAUCAAAGUAUCGAUAUUCUCUAUUUACUUAAAAGAAAAAAAAGAUUUAAAAAAAGUGCUAACAUAAUAACAUUUCUUUUCCUUUUCUUUUUUGUUUUGCAAAAUCCUUUGCCUUGCUCGGAAGUUUAAAAGAGUAAGAAAAGGAGAUAUGCAUAAUUGUAGCAGAUAUUCUUCAAGAAUUAUAGCAUAAGAUUUAUUAAGAUCACGUCAGAUCACGAGGAACCUUUAUUUGGGAUUUCCUUAACAUAAGCUUCCUUCUCUGAAGCAUUUUCCUGAUCAGAAACCUUAACACGAGAUACUUAGAUAUAUACGAGUGUCAAAGUAUCAAUAUUCUCUAUUUAUAGAAAAGAAAAAAAAAGAUUAAAAAAAAACUAACAUAAUCACAUUUCUUUUCCUUUUGUUUUUUUGUGUUGCAAAAUCCUUUGCCUUGCUAGGAAGUUUAAAAGAGUAAGAAAAGGAGAUAUGCAUAAUUGUAGCAGAUAUUCUUCCAGAAUUAUAGCAUAAGAUUUAUCAAGAUCGCGACAUAUCACGAGGAAGCUUGAUGUGGGAUUUCCUGAACGUAAGCUUCAUUCUCGGAAGCAUUUUCCUUAUCAAAAACCUUAACACGAGAUACUUAGAUAUAUACGAGUAUCAAAGUAUCGAUAUUUUCUAUUUAUAGAAAAUAAAUCUUUUUUAAAAAAAAGUGAUAACAUAAUCGCAUUUCUUUUCCUUUUGUUUUUUUGUGUUGCAAAAUCCUUUGCCUUGCUAGGAAGUUUAAAAGGGUAAUAAAAGGAGAUAUGCCUAAUUCUAGCAUAUAUUCUUCAAGACUUAUAGCAUAAGAUUUAUCAAGAUCACGACAUAUCACGAGGAAGCUUGAUGUGGGAUUUCCUGAACGUAAGCUUCCUUUUCUGAAGCAUUUUCCUUAUCAGAAACCUUAACACGAGAUACUUAGAUAUAUACGAGUGUCAAAGUAUCGAUAUUCUCUAUUUAUAGAAAAUGAAAAAAAGAUUAAAAAAAAGCAAACAUAAUCACAUUUCUUUUCCUUUUCUUUUUUGUUUUGCAAAAUCCUUUGCCUUGCUAGGAAGUUUAAAAGAGUAAGAAAAGGAGGUAUGCAUAAUUGUAGCAGAUAUUCUUCAAGAAUUAUAGCAUAAGAUUUAUCAAGAUCACGCCAGAUCACGAGGAAGCUUGGUUUGGGAUUUCCUUAACAUAAGCUUCCUUCUCUGAAGCUUUUUCCUUAUCAGAAACCUUAACACGAGAUACUUAGAUAUAUACGAGUGUCAAAGUAUCGAUAUUCUCUAUUUAUAGAAAAGAAAAAAAAAGAUUAAAAAAAAAUGAGCUAACAUAAUCACAUUUCUUUUCCUUUUCUUUUUUGUGUUGCAAAAUCCUUUGCCUUACUCGGAAGUUUAAAAGAGUAAGAAAAGGAGAUAUGCAUAAUUAUAGCAGAUAUUCUUCAAGAAUUAUAGCAUAAGAUUUAUCAAGAUCACGGCAGAUCACGAGGAAGCUUGAUGUGGGAUUUCCUGAACAUAAGCUUCCUUCUCUGAAGCAUUUUCAUUAUCAGAAACCUUAACAUGAGAUAGUUAGAUAUAUACGAGUGUCAAAGUAUCGAUAUUCUCUAUUUAUAGAAAAGAUAAAAAAAUAUUAAAAAAAAUGAGCUAACAUAAUCACAUUUCUUUUCCUUUUCUUUUUUGUGUGGCAAAAUCCUUUGCCUUGCUAGGAAGUUUAAAAGUGUAAGAAAAGGAGAUAUGCAUAAUUCUUUCUGAUAUUCUUCAAGAAUUAUAGCAUAAGAUUUAUCAAGAUCAUGACAGAUCAUGAGGAAGCUUGAUAUGGGAUUUCCUGAACGUAAGCUUCCUUCUCUCAAGUAUUUUCGUGAUCAGAAACUUUAACAUGAGAUACUUAGAUAUAUACGAGUGUCAAAGUAUCGAUAUUCUUUAUUUAUAAAAAAGAAAAGAAAAGAUUAAAAAAAAGAGCUUACAUAAUCAUAUUUCUUUUCCUCUUCUUUUUUGUGAUGCAAAAUCCUUUGCCUUGCUAGGAAUUUAUGCUUUACACAAGGAAAUUAACAACGAAAGUAUUUUUGAAAAAUUUUAUUGUCCUUUAAAAACUAUUAGGAAGACAAGUGUGGUUAUUCAUAUUGAGCAUUUGUCAAGUUCAAGAGUACAGACAACAUAAAAAACAGGGUAUGAUAGAAGCAUUGCUUCUCUAGCAUCUUUUAUGAUAAGCUAAGAAAACAGAUUUACUUAAACAUUAUAGAGUUUAACAUAUCUAAAUUAAUCAAAAAUUACAUUUUUAUAAUCUUAACAUCAUAGUAUUCUAGAUGAAUUAAUUUGAUUAGUGAAUCAGUUAAUAAAAAAUUAAUUAAUAAUAAUAAUUGUCGAUCACGUAUAGUUUCGAACCGGUCUCAAACAAGGUAUGAGACUAAAAAAAAUGUUCAUAAAAAUCUAAUUUCUUUGUAACCCAUUUGCAUUAGAACAAAUAUUUUGUAUUCAAAAAAAAUUGUGACCACCUUUCAAAUGCAAGUUUGAAACAUUUAAAAAAAACAUUAAUAAUAUAUAUAUAUAUAUAUAUAUAUAUAUAGGUCAUAUAUUGGUUGCAAAAAAAAUGAUAAAAAUUCUAUGUAGUAUGGAAUAAUUAAUUUUUAUAAUUAGAUAGUUGUUAAUAAUUAAUAUCAUAGUAAUCAUCAUCAUUUAAAAAAAAUUAAUUUUCAUAAAUAAUAAUAAUAAUAAUAAUAAAACUUUUCAAUAAUAAAAAAUAUUUUAAAAUGUUUGCUAAGAUUUGUGAACAAUAUUUACAACUGAUCCCAAAUUUUCUAUCAAAUAAAAUCCAGUUUUAGUUUUUUUUUUUAAAUAUUCAUUGUUUUGGAAUGAUUGGUUGGUCACAAAUAGAAAAUAAAGAAUUUUUAAAAAAAUUGUUAUCGAAUUUUUAAAUUUCAUUCACUAAAUAGCAUUUUAUGAAUUUGAGCACAAUAUUUUUAAAAAACAUGGUACAUAUUAGGUAAUAUAUGAAUAAUAUUAUGGUUAAUGCGUAAUCUACGCUACUAAUUUAGUGAUAAGUUAAUAUUUAAUUUGGCCUUUUUCUCUCUUUAAUUGAAUUAUAAAUGCCCUUUCUUGCUUUCUACGUUCUUUGGUUCUUAUAGUCGCUAUUCAAUAUUUUUUUUUUUGUUUCUUAUUAUUUGGUCAUAUUUAAAAUAAUAAUAUGGAAAUGUCAACAGCUCCAACUUCAUUUAAACUAGAUGACCAAAGUUUUUAAGAAAAACUAUAAACAACAAGAAUAUUAAAGUUCAAUAUUAUUAUGAGCCUUUAAAUUAUCAUUUUAACGUGGAAUCCAAUAGUCUUACUAAUAUAAUAAUUCAUUUGUGUUCUUUUUUUUUUUAAUUUUUAAUUUUUAUUUAUGUUAGGGAAAUGAUACGCCCACACAUACAUGUCAUAUAGAUUCCUUACAUGCAAACGUAUAUAAGAACAUUUUGGUCCUAAAAUCUUAUAAUCAUGCAAAUAAGUCCUUAAUUAAAUAGACUAGGAAAUUCAUUGUCUUCUUAUUAUGUAUUUUCUUUCCCUUGUAUCUUCCAAUGAAUUAUAUAAGUAAUAAAUACAAUUUAACCUUUAAUUUAACAAACAUACAAUGAAUAUUUUUGUCCCAAACCAAAAGCACAAUAAAUAAGUCCCAACCAAAAGCACCAGAAUUAACCCAAACAAACUCCCAAGUCCCAGCACUCUCUCUCACUCUGUUUUGUCGUUAAAGUUGCUUCAACUUGAAAAGUUCAACGAUAAGUCUCCGAAAGAAAUUUCCCACAGCAUCUCAAUUUUCUCUUUCUGACAGCAUAUCAUCCUCUCUUUCAAUGGAAAAUAUGACCUCAGUCGCCCAGGGAUUCACUAAGUCGCUUGCGAUGACAGUGGUAUCGGAGAUCGGCGAUAAGACUUUUUUCGCUGCCGCGAUCUUGGCCAUGCGUCACCCAAGAAGACUUGUUUUGUCAGGUUGCCUAGCGGCUUUGAUAGUUAUGACUAUCCUUUCUGCUGCUGUUGGCUGGGCUGCUCCAAAUCUGAUCUCUCGUGCGUGGACUCAUCACAUAACAACAAUAUUGUUUUUUGGAUUUGGGCUUUGGUCCUUGUGGGAUGGAUUUAAUGACAAAGGGGAGGCUGAAGAAUUGGCAGAAGUUGAAGCAAAAUUGGAUGCUGAUUGGAAAGCUAACACAGGAACGGCCAAAGCUGGUAGCAAGGACAGUGAUGAAUUGAAAAAGCAGAGGCGGACAUUUCUUUCACAGUUCUUCUCACCUAUACUCUUGAAAGCAUUUUCCAUUACAUUCUUUGGUGAAUGGGGUGACAAGAGCCAGAUAGCCACCAUUGGUUUGGCUGCUGAUGAGAACCCGUUUGGUGUUGUUAUAGGUGGAAUUGUAGGGCAAGCACUGUGUACUACUGCCGCUGUCAUCGGUGGAAAGAGCUUGGCAUCUCAAAUAUCUGAGAGAGUAGCUGCGUUGUCAGGUGGAGUUCUUUUUAUUGUUUUUGGAAUCCAAUCCUUCCUUUCAACGGUUGAGUAGACCCAUCAUCUAACACGUAGGUGGUGGUUAGGUGUAUUAGUGACUUUCAUACAUUAAGAAGGUGAUCAUUCUCCGAAGGACGCAGCAAGAUAUGGUUAUUCACAAGAGCAAUUGCUCAACUCAUAAAUUUCCUGAUUCAAAGAGCAGUAGCAUGUUUGAUUAUCAAAAUUAACCAAGAGCGUGUUAUAUGCUAUUUAAUAUCUUCUGUUGGAUCUUGAUAUAUCUUAAAUUGAAUGAAGCAUUAUGAGGCACCGAAGUUGCCUACACACUGUUGAUUUUAUGCAUGCAAAAAAAAAAAAUGAUUAUUUGACAUGGUAUAGGAGCUUGAUGACCAGGCGAUUAUAAGUUCGAAUCAUUUAUUUGAUAAAAAUCAAACAUAAAGUAAUAUGAGUUUGUGCAAGUUUCAAGCUCAAAAAGCAUUUACUUGAUGGUGUGUGUUAAACAAUAAUAUAAAUCAUAUCUUGAAGUCUCACCUAAAGUUUAAGCUUUUGAAUUGAAUUGAUUCUUUAACAGUAUAUAAACACUAUUUUAAAAAAUAUUUUCUCAAUACAAGGCUGUUCUCCAGGAUCCAACAACUUCUUCAUCUAAAGACGAGGGUUACAGAAACAACGAUAAAGAUAGAAAAAAAUACCAGCAAACCUUGCAAACAUAAAAAAUUAAUAAUAUGAUUUUUUUUUCUUUUGAUAUGUUUGAUUGUAAGAGUAGAUGGUAUAUAUAGGCUAUUAACAUGUAAUAGCUAGGUAGAAAAUAAAUUAAAAAAUUAUUACAAUAGUUAAAGAAAUAAAAGAGGUGUUAGAGAAUUAAAAAGUUAUGGCUAUUAAAAAAAAUAAAAAAGAAAGAGUUGUUAAAAAGAGUUAGAGUUGUUAAAAAAUAUUGACAAAAAUCUGAUUUCUUUGCGACCCAUUUCCAUUAGCACAGAUAUUUCAUUAUUUAAAAAACUUGUGAUCAUUUUCAAAUGCAAAUUUAAAAUGGUUUUGAAAAAAUUAAUAAUAUAUAUAGUUGCUUAUUGGUCGCAAAAUAUUGAUAAAAUUCCUUUUUUGUAUGGAAUAAUUAUUUUUUCUAAUUAGAUAGUUAUUCAUAUUGAGAAUAUUCAGAUUGAAAUUCCUAUUUAAACAACCCUAUUUUAAUAAUAAAAAAUCUAGUUUGAAAUGAUGAAACUUAAACUUAACUAAAUUUUGAGUUAAUAAAUAAUCAGAUUGACCUAUGGAGCUAGAUCAAAUUUUAUAACCAUCUGCAUAAUACUAAUUAACCCGUAUUAUAAAUACCAAAAAAAGAAAAGUUUGGUUCAUGUUAUCAUUUCUAUAUAUUCUUAUCUUACAUGAAGACUUGCAUUUUUCUUUUAUUAAUUUAUGUAUAAAUUGAUAUGAGAAUAUUUCAUUAAUGCAUGCACACGUUGAUUCAAGAUCAUUCAUUAUCAUCCAAUAAAAAAAAUGAUUUGAAUCAAUUUCACAGAAUAAUAAUAUAAAAAAGAAAGAAAGAAGAGAAUUUAGGUCAUGCGUAUGAAAGGGUGGUUUCUGCCAUAAUAAACGUCUUGCAUCAUGGAAGCAGCCAAAGGCGAAGUAAUCUUUAUAAUUACCAGAGGAAGAAUGUAUCAGACAAGAGCAACAUCGAGCAGAGAUGAUGGUCACAGACAGAGGAGCACGGGCUAACCAUGGCCUUACUGCAUGGUGGGAGGAAACCAUAGACAAAAAAAAAAAACACAACUCCCUCAAAUUGUUUAUGGGCUUGAGCUAGUGUCUCUCUACUCGCUGAGAUGGAUGAAUCUGGUUCAAUCUCACCGUGUCAAGUUGCUAUCUGUCUCCACUGUGGCAUUGAAUUUUCUGGUGAGAUCCACCCAGCAGCUUUAAUCAAGAGUUUAUUUGAAUACAAGGAUAUGAAUCAUGGCUGCCCCUGCCCUUUGCAUGCCCGUUUAUAAGUGUCGCACCCGACAUCACGGCAGUCCUAAAAAUUAAUUCUCGAAUAUGAAAAAAAAAACAGAUUUCUGGCAUCUUGUUCUUUUAGAAAAAAUAUCUUGUUUAAGGAGUCGCCACCUAGUAUUAUGGUUACUAGGAACCCUAACUGGUCAACAGAGAUUCUAUAAUACGGAACUGGUUACGUAAAAGGGAAGAUAUUAUCACCCUUUAAACGUUCUGUCUGAGGCAGACUGCAUUGCUGGUUUUGUCUUAAAUUGCUAAAAAUUUAUUCGCUUAUGCUAUGAUGAUUUGUUUAUAAUAUUCCUGAUUCUGGCGCCAGUAAAUAUUCGACUACGGAUAUUUCCAACUCUGGCAUUGGUAAGUAUUACGUAACUCAAAACAAAGAUGAAUGGUGUUGCUGACUCUAGCUCUUUAAAUGAACCAAUAAAAAUAAAUUUAAAUAUAUGCAUGCAUAUUUUAUAUUUUUUAUUUUUUAUUUUUUUGGGCUGGGCUGGACCCAGCCAGCCCGGCCCGGUCACUGGCCCAAGCCAGUGACCGUGCAAAUUUCACCCGCAAGCGUGCGUGACUCACGCACGCUUCUACAAUCACCACUUAAUUAAGUCUCUAAUGCACAGUGUUGAUGAAUUAUUUUACAGAGCUGGAGACACUUGCCUGGGAGCAGAAUGAAGGCGAUGGCGUGCUGUUCCUCUCUUCGUUUUUUAAGCUUCUUCCUCUGGUUUUGGAAGCCGGCGCCGGAGAAGAAGAAGCCGAUUGUGAUGCUGGUGCUUUCUUCUGUGGGUUUCUUAUUUCCCUGUCCUCCUCUCUGCCUCUGUUCUCAAAGAAAGAAAGAAACGCUCUGGUUCCUGUUGCUCGCAGUUGCAGAAGACGAUGACAGUGCAGAAGGGCUAUCCCACCCACACUGCCACUGCCUUCUCUCCUCUGUUUUGUUUUUUAUUUCACCCCUCCCUCGGUUCAGCUCUCUCUUUUUUCAGUUCUUCCCCCCUGGCUUUUUCGUGUUUUCCUCUGUUUCUUUGAGAAGAAACAGGGGAACGAAAGUCUGCUCUGGUUUCUCUCGGUUCCUCUUCCCAGUUUUUCUUCAGUUUCUCUCCGUCUGCUCUUUUUUAGUUCGGUUCUGUCAUUUUUUGUUCUCCGCCCUUCGUGGCUUUUCUUUUUCUCUCCCUCUCAGCCCCUCGGUUCUGUGUUUCUCCAGGGGCUUUUCGGUUAUGCCCUCUCUUUCCUGGGUUCUUUUUUGCCACCACCUGCAUGGACUAUCUCUGGCUUUUAUAGCCAGAGAACAAUGCCGUUUCUUCAAGCCAUAAAUUGUGUUAAUUGCAGGUGUAAUGGUGGGAGCGGCGGUGUGCGUCCGUUUCAGUCGGGAAGAAGAUGGACAUUAACGGGAAAACGGCGCCGUUUUUGGUGUUUAAUGGCUAUUUGCAUUUUGGACCUUGCAUUUUUGACAAUUUUGUACUUAAGUCCCUAGUUAAAUUGUAAUUGGACCCCUGCAUUUCGGCGCCAUUUUCAAGCUGGUCCUUGGAUUUUAAUUUUUUCAAUUUGGACCCCAAUUAAACCCCAAACUUUGAUAUUUCUUCAAUUAAGUCCCUGAUUUCAUUAAUUAAAUUAAUUCUAAGCCAAUUAAGUCCACAAACUUAUCAAUUCUUCAAUUAAACCCUUGAUUGGAUUAAUUAAAUUAAUUUCAAGCUCAAUUAAGUCUCAAAAUCAAUUCUCCAAUUAAACCCUUGAUUGGAUUAAUUAAAUUAAUUCCAAACUCAAUUAAAUCUCAAAACUUAUCAAUUCUCUAAUUAAACUCUUGAUUGGAUUAAUUAAAUUAAUUCCAAACUCAAUUAAGUCUCAAAACUUAUCAAUUCUCCAAUUAAACCCUUAAUUGGAUUAAUUAAAUUAAUUCCAAACUUAAUUAGAUUAAUUCCAAAGUUUAAUUAAACCCCAAAAAUUCUAAUCAUGUUGCCCUUAACCCAAAUUUUAAUUCAUUUUUCAUUUAUCUCAUUUUACUUGUUUUUUAUCAUUAUUAUUUUUUUAUCAUCAUCAUUUUUUUUAUCCUUUUUAGUAAAUAAAAUAAUAAUAAUAAUUAAAAUAAAAUGGUUAAAAAUUGGGUUAUGACAAUAGGGACAAAGAAGAAUUGUUUUCCACUUUUUAGAUAAAAAAAAAAAUCCACCAAACUCUGCAACCCACUUGGGAGAGAAACAGCAUCCUCUUUCCAUGGAGGGUCCCCAGAUAUCACCAUGUCCAUCAAUUAUUACAUUGUUUGGAACCCCAGAAAAUUAUAUUUUUGAGCUAACAAUUCCUUUCGAGCCUUGAAUAAUCUCUCUCUCUCUCUCUCUCUCUCAAUAAUACUGAUGCUUUUGUACUGACAUCUGUGUUUGAUUGGGCCUACGCCUAUCUAUGUAAACAAUGACUUGUAGAGUUAUUAAACUUUCGCCUAGAGAAUUGAUCCGGUUAACUUUUAAUUUAAAUUGAUUUUAGUAUUGAUUUGGUUAAAUUUAAGUGAUUUAACAAGUUGAUACUGUUAUAUCUAGCUAUGUCAAAACCAAUGAAUUUUUUUUAAAAAAAAAAUAUCAAACAAAUUUUGUUAAAAAAAUGAUAGAAUCACUUAAAUUUUAAGAAUAAAAAAAAUAAUUUUUUUUUAUUGUCCUUAAAAAAACCUACGUAGACAAGUGAGGUUUAUUCAUAUUGAGAACUUCUCAAGUUCAAAAGCAUAGACAACAUAAAAAAAAAAAGUAGAUAAAAUCCUAUCUAUGAUAGAAGCAUUGCAUCUCACAUCUUUUAUGAUAAAUUUUUUUUUUAAAAAAAAAAGCAGAUUUACUUUUUUUUUAUUAUUAUUAACGUAGGUAUCCGGGCCAGCUUGCACGCACCUCGACUAAUCCCACGGGCCCUAAAGUUAACGAAUGUAAGCCUUGAGUGGCCAUCAUAUGAGCAACCACAGGGCUCGAACCUGAGACCACAGAGGGAGCAAACCCUUUAGUCCCAAGCUCUUACCACUAGACCACCACCUAGAAAGCAGAUUUACUUAAACAUUAUAGAGUUAAACAUAUCUAAUUUAAUCAACAAUUACAUUUAUAUAUAUAAUCUUAAUAUGAAAAUAUUCCAGAUAAAUGAAUUUGAUUAAUAUCAAUCAGUAAAUUGAUUAAUCCAUCAUAUACUAUAAAAAAAAAAUAGUUAAUUCUCCUAAUUACAUAAUUAUUAAUAUUAUAGUAAUCAUCAUCAUUCCAAAAAUAUAUCGGUUGAUAUUAUAGUAAUCAUCAUCAUUCCAAAAAUAUAUCGGUUGCCAAAAUAAAUAUAUAAAAGUGAUAAAAUUUCUAGUUAGUGUGAAAUAAUUGAUUUUCCUAAAUUGAUAAUUAUUAAUAAUCAUCACAUUUUAAAAAAUAUGAUGAUGAUAUUUAAAAGUUAUUAAUAAUCAUCACAUUUUAAAAAAUAUGAUGAUGAUAUUUAAAAGUUAUUAAUAAUCAUCACAUUUUUUUUAAAUCUAGCUUUGUUCCUUUUGGCAAAAAAAAUAUCAAAAGAUAUAGCUCAACCAUAUCUCAAAAUCUAAAAUUAGAUGAAAUUGUCGUUUUGAUCAUUUAAAGCUAAAAUGAUAUUAUGAUUGUUAAACAAUGUAAAUAAAUAAAAGAGAAAUACAAAAACAAGAGAGGGGGAGGUUACGGUUUUAUUGAUAUUGCAUUGAAGGGAUAUGUUUAACAUAAAUACAAAGAGAUUAUAUAUAGGCUAAACUGAAAAGAAAAUAAAAAUAUUAUUCUACCCUUAAUAAAUAAAACAAAAUAACUUAUAUUUCUUAACAUAUCCCCUCAAACUCAUGAUGUGACAGUUACAGGCAUCGAGAGUUUGUCAACUAGAAAAUAAAAACAAAAAAUAAAAUGCAACUUGGUAAAGAAAUCCGCAAUCCGCAAAGAAGAAGAAACAAAAGGCAAAGUAAUGGUGUCAUGCUUGAGAUGAUGACAAGUAAGAUGACAAUUGAUUUCAAUGUGCUUAGUUCUAUCAUGAGAAAUCGAGUUGUGAGCAAUCUGAAUAGAACUCUGAUUGUCACAAUACAUAGGAGUUGGAUGAGAAAGGAAAAUUCUCAAAUCUGCAAGUAACCAACGUAACAAAAAAUCUCUUUGGUAGUAGAUGUCAUAUCACAAUAUUCUGCUUCAUUUGAAGAUUGAAAAAUAAUAGAAUGUUUCUUGCUUUUUCAAGAAACAAGAAAUCACUUAAAAAGAUACAGAAACCAGUAACACAUUUGCAAUUUGUGGGAUCACUACCAUGAUCAGCAUUAAAGUAUGCACACAGCUCUAAAAAAGAGGUGGAUAGAAGUAAAAGACUUUGAAAAACUAUACCUCGAAGAUAUCACAAAAUACAAAGAACAGUUGUCUAAUGAACGGUAGUAAAAGAAGCAGCAAACAGACUAACAACAUAAACAGCAUAUGCAAUAUCUGGAUGAGUAAUAAUGAGAUAUAUCAAGCUCCCAACAAUAGUACGGUAUAAAAUAUGAUGUGACAAGGUAAAUCAUCAUAAGAAAAAUAUUUUGUGUUAACCUUAAUGGGAGUAUAUACAGUUUUAUUAUUAGUAAGUCUAGCUUGCUCAAGAAUAUUUACCAAAUAUUUCGACUGAGAAAUAAGAUAACUCAAAUUUUUCAUUUCAAACUAUCUAGCUAACUCUGUAUUUAAAACUGAAAUACCAUCAAUAUCAUCAUCAGUAAUAAUUAUGUCAUUAACAUAUAAAGACAUAAUGAUACGACUUGUAUCAGUGCACUUAACAAAAAAAGCAGAAUCAUGACUACUAGAAACAAAACCAAUAGAAGAGAUCACAACAGAGAAUUUCUCAAACCAAGCACGAGGUGCUUGUUUGAGAUCAUAUAACGAUUUCUUGAGCUUUCAAACAUACUCAGAAUCAUGUGAAAUACUAAGAGGAGCGUCAUAUAAACUUCUUCUUUAAGAUCUCCAUUCAAGAAGGUAUUUUUAACAUCAAGUUGAGAUAUAUGUCAUUGAUGAACCGAAGCUACUACAAUAAGAGUAUGAAUAGUAAUUAUUUUUGCAAUAGGAGUAAAUGUCUCCUCAUAAUCCAUACCAUAUUAUUGAGAGUAUCAUUUUGCAACCAACCUAGCUUUGUAUCGCUCAAUAGAUCCAUCAGAAUUAAUCUUGAUCUUAUACACCCAACGACAACCAACAUCACUCUUACUAGGAGGUAGAGGAAUCAAAUCUCAAGUAUCUAUUUUAUGCAAAGCAUAAAGUUUCUCAUCCAUAACUUGCUGCCAAAGAAGAUCAAGUCUCUUUAUAGAAAGAGGGCUCAGAAAAACAAUGAAUAAAAGCUAAAAAAUAAAUAAAUGAUGAGGAAUAACAAGAAUAAGCAAAAUCUGGUAACUUUGUGGACUUAUGAAUGCAUAUGGAUUGACGUAGAGGUAAAUCCAUAAUCUCAAACGGAGGUGGAGGGAUUGUAGUGGAGAGAAUGAAACUUUAGGUGUACCAGAGAGUAAAAUGUUAGUACAUGUAGAAUAAUCAGUAUUUUUUUGUUUAAUUAUUUCCAAAUUAUUAUUAUUAUUAUUAUUAUUUUAUGAAAAUUAUAAAUGUAAUUGUUGAUUAAUUUAUUAUGUUUAACUUCUUUUUUUUGGCUUAUCAUAAAAGACAAUAGAGAUGAAAUGCCUCUAUCACUUUUUUUUGCUUUUUAAAUGCUGUCUAUGCUCUUGAACUUGACAAAUGCUCGAAUGUGAAUAAAUCACUUGUCUGCCCAAUUGUUUUUUAGGAGAAUAAAAAAUUUUCAAAUUUUUUUUAUUGUUAAUUCCCUUGGCAUAACUUCCUAGCAAGGCAAAGGAUUUUGAAACACAAAAGAAAAGGAAAGGGUGACUACAUCAAAUAUAUAUCAAAAUAUCUCACUAUAUCAAUAUUUAUCAGACUUAUAAAGUGAAUUAAAAACACAUAUAUAUGUGCAAGCGUACACACAUAUAAACUAAAUUAAUAUUUCACUGUAAAUAUUUAUCACAAUUUUAAAACAAAAUUGUGAGUAAUUUUUCCCUUUUUUUAUAAGCAAAGAAUACUUUAACACUAACUAUAAUCUAAAACAUGUGGAGAAAGUAUUAAAUUGUAAGUAUUUUUUCCCUCUUUUAUAAGUAAAGUAUAUAUUAAAGAAUCUCAUUAUAUCAAUGUAUUUCGGACUUGAAAAAGUUAAUCAAACAUGUGGGGAAAGUUAAUCAAACACAUUAACUAUAAUCUAAAACAUGUAAGAAAAGUACUCUAAUAAUAUUACUUUCCCCGUAUGUUUUGGUGUGGCUCUAAAAAAUACAUUUGUUUUUGUUUAUAUAUAUAUAUAUAUAUAUAUAUAUAUAUAUAUUUUUUUUUAAUUAAUGUUUUGGUUUUUUUUUAAAUUUUAUCCUUUUAAUAUUACAUUUUUUUAUUGGGUUAUCUUAUUUUCAAGACACGGAUCACGGGUUUGGCGGAUUAACCUAAUUGAUUGAGGUUUUAUUCUUUUUUAUUUACCUUUUUUUUUCAAUUUUAUCACUUAAUAUUGGUUUAAUUGAGAAUUAGGUUUCAUGAUUUAUUUUAUUUGCUUUCUAUUAUGUUAAUCAGUCAUGACUUGAAAAUAAUGUUUAAUGGCUUUAUAAUUUGUUUUUAUUUAUUUUCUAUGGAGUUAUCAUAAUCUCAUAACUCAAGUCACAUAUUUGAUAUGUUAACCCAAAUUGACUCAAAUUAAUUUAUUAUGUUGUUAUCUUAAUUUUAAAAAAAAAAUGUUAUCUUAAAAUUAUUUUUAUCAAAUUAUAUUUUUAUUGGUCCUCUAAAAAAUAUGUUAGUAAUAUUUAAAUAUUUUUUUUAUAUUCAAGAAAAACUUGACCCGAGGGUCAAUAAUUUAACACAAACAGUAAACUAAAACAAUAUUUCACUAUACAUGUACUAUUCAUAAAAUACUAUUUAGAGAAUCAAACUAAAACAUUCGAUAACAAAUUGUUUUAAAAUUAUGAAGGAAAUUGAAUAGCAGAAAAGUACUGGUUUUGCUUGCAAAUAUAUAUUUGAGUGAAGGAUAUGAUAUCAUUAAAUGAAAGUACAACUUAUCAUUGCACAUUGCCAUGCCAUGAAGAUUGAACCAUUACAGAAAGCAAGAGACAAGCUUAUCAUAUUAUUGCAUAUUAUCAGAAAUGGCGAUGAAAUUAGACUACAAACUUACAAAGUUCCAACCCCAUUUAGACCAAACCAAAAACAUUCUUACCCCGUCAUAACAAGAGUUAUGGCUUAUCAACAACAGACCUGAAAAAAAUUUACUGAUAGACCAAUUCAAAAGUGGCCAAAAAAAAGAAAAACUUCCCUUUAUUCCUCGCCAUCCUCUCCUGCAAAACUCAGAGCCUGACAAACAGAGUCCCCUGCUUCAGCCUCCUCGAUGCAAAAGAAUGGUUUCUUCCCAACCAAAUCAGCCACUCUUUUCGCAGCCCCUGAAUCCCUUGGAGUCUCAGCAACACACCUGACAGUCCUAAUCUUUGGCAACACAUCAGCCACUGUAGAAACUGUCGGCGGAGAUUCGCCUUCAUCAUCACCCUUAUACACCACUACUUCAAUUGGAAUCUCCCACUUCUUCUUCACUCUACCACUGUCCAUUCUCUGACACGCCCCAUUUCCUCGCGAAGCCCUCCUCUUAUUGACAUCUUCCUUCUCAUUAUCCGGCAAAGACCUCUUUCGAGCCUCGCUAGCACUUAGAUUCCCAUUAGACUGAUUUGUUCCAAUCUGACUAUACCUACUAGCCACCACCCGCCCGGGCUUCAAGGGUUUCUUAUUAGUAACAGAUUUUUCUCCAUCUUUGAAUAGAUUCUUCGGCUGAAUUGAAGCAAUAAUCCCAUCUUCUUUCUUCACUGAUCUUCUAGACCCCACAGUAGUAACAGCCUGUUUAGGAAAUUGAAUCUUGGACACAUUUUUUCGCGAUCUUGGACUAACACUCAAGCUUUUUCCUCUCUCUUUAGUUGCCUUUAAUUCAUCAAUCUCUUCAAGCUUCCAAAAACAAGAUUUCCGCCGAUUCUGAAUCGAAACAGGAGUGUUCAUGUCUUGUUUCCCACAGAAUAACCUUGAUUUGGAUCCGGAUAAAAUCUCACUUGGCCCUAAACUGACUCCUCUUCUAUUAAUCUUCGAUUUAGAACUUGGGAUCAACGGUUCCUCAAUCUUGACACUCUGUUUCUGAUCCAUAAAUUUUGCAGCCACAAUUCUCCCUCUCUUCUCAAUAGUCUUUGAUAUAUUCCUCUCUACCUUUUCAAGCCUAAGUGCUUCGAGUCUUGAAGACAAACGCUUAAUCUCUCUCUCAAUCUCUUCAAUCUCCAUAUCAAUCUUUUUCUCAUCACGAUUCUUGAUCUCUUCAUUCUUUGCCACCAUCUUAGAAACCCCAAUCUUCAAAGAACUACUCCCGAGUGAGUUAACUAGAUUGGUAUUUGAUUGAAGUGGCUUGGUGGGGUUUGAAGAAUUGACAAAAACAGGAGAUGAUUUUUCACAAACUGGGCUAAGAUUCUCUUUACUUCCAUUGGAUUCAAGACUUUGAGUCCACCAAGAAGACUUAAGAUUCAAAGAAUCCUCUGAUUCUCCAUUAUCAAACGCUGCAUUGUUCCAUAUUUGAACUUCUGGGGCAUCAACCCCAUCUGGGUAUUGAAGAAGACUACUCAUCUUUCUUGUUGCACUAUCAAAAUGGGGGGUUUUCUUUGUUCUUUUUACAAAUCAAGAUUUGACCUUUUUCAAAGGAAUCUGUGAAUUUUUGAGAGAGAGAGAGAGAGAAAAGGUGAGGAUUAUUUGAGUUUAAUGAGGGAUUUUUGGGGGGGUUUUGUGUUGUUUUAAAGAUUUUUUGACCGUUGGAGAAAAAGUAUACGUUGGAGCCUCAUGGUGGAAUACUGACAGUUCCAUAAACGGCUUAUAUUAGACGCUCCCAUUUUGAUUUAAAGGGUUAUUUGUCAAAAAAAAAAAAAAAAAAAAAGGAAAAUUUUGUGCGGGAUGGGAACUUGAUGCGUUGUUUGUUUCCUGUUUGAUGAGUAAGAAAGAGCAUAUUUGAAUAGUGUUAAGGGUUGUUUGGGAGUAAAUUUUGUUAAAAUUUUAAAAAAAAUUCUUUAUUUUUUUUAAUGUUUUUAAAUUAUUUUGAUGUAUUGAUGUUAAAAUUAAAUUUUAAAAAUUUAAAAAUAUUUUUUUAAUAUUUUUUUUGAAAAAAAUAUUUUGAAAAGUAACUACUAUUAUAUUUUAAAUAUUUUCUAAACCUCAUCAAUCAAUCUAAUAAUCUAAUAUAUUAUUUUUUAUUGAUAUGUUAUUUAAUUUAGACUAUGUAUAAAAAAUUAGAUGAGAAUUAAUUUGAUCCCGAUUAAAAUCUAGUUUAAUUUUAAAAAAAAAUUCAAAAUGAUAUAAAUUUGAAUUUUUAUUAAAAAAAUAAAAAUUAAUUUAUUUUAAUUAAUUCAGAUCAAAUCUAAUUAAUCCACAUAAUCAUGUUAUAUUAUAUAAUCAUAAUCAGGAUCAAACAAGAUUUAAUAACUUUGAUUUGAAUAGGAAAUGGCCGAUGAUUACUACUACGAAAUUGGGCCGCCCUCCCAUAGCCGAUGAUACUUUGGAAGUGAGGGGGAGAAGGCAAGAAAAUCAUAAUUACCCGUAUGACUAAUAAUCUCAUUAAUCAUUUUGUUAGCAAGAUCGAGGAGGUAAAAAAUCAUAAUUAUAUCCUCCAAGUUGGUUUUUUUUUUCAAUUUGAUGGUAAAAAAUAUUUUCAUAUAAUUAAGGGUUGAUAAAUCAGCAUAUGGAUCUGAUGAUCCUCUCAACACUGCUAAGAAUCUCAGUAUGCAAGCAACAGAACAGCAGAUGGUUGUAAGAAAGAAAUACACAGUGAAUUUUAUUCCCUUUCAAGCAAAAUGAUUAGUUAAAAUUGGAAGAAAAUGGAGCUACUCUUCCUUGACAUAUCAGUUCAUAUCACAGCAGCAAAAAGAACCCAGAAAGGAAGUAUCAGCUGCAAGUCUGUAACACACAGCAGGCUCCAGUCUUCGGCCAAUGAUACUCAGUGUCCACAUGAGCAGGAACCUUGCCUCCAUGUCGCCACAAUAAUACAGACAGUUCCCAGCUGAAGAGUCAAAGGAGAAAAGAUAAAAUAAAAUAAAUAAAUGCACAGUACUGAAGGAGAAGGCACCACACACCACACAUAAUUAAAAGAAAUCUUGCUUACACUUAAAAUAAAUAUUUUUUUAAUUCAUCAUGUGUAAUUGGACUGAAUUCCAAGAAAUUUGUUGACAAGGAUCAAAUUAGAUGCUCAGUAAAUAUGAAGGACUAAUCAAAAGACAAGCCAGAUUCUAUUAGAAUUGUUCAAUAAUAAUCAGUUGCAGCAGCAAUCAGAAAAUAUUAUAAUUAUAGUCAACAAUUUUUUAGCAAUUAGUUUCUGUUUCAAAUUAUAAAUUAUACAAAAAUAUUAUUCUUAUUUCCAAUUAAUUGUAUAUGUUUAUAUGUUUCAAACACCUGAAUUUUAUUUUCAUCAUUAAAUUUAUUUUGAUUUAAGUGGCUAAAUUUAAUUUGUUAUAAUUAAGUGGCUAAAUUUAAAUUUAAAUUUGUUAGACCAGGUAGUUGCUUAUUUAUUAAGUUUAAGAGAAUAUUUUCAAGAUAGAAUUGAAUCAUUAGAUUAUUUUUCUAUUAAAGAAUGUUAAUCAAAACAUAAUUACUGCGAGAUGUCUUUUUGAGAUACAAAAUAUCUCAUAGUAAUAUAUUUUAUCCAUUAUAUUAAUUAAAAUUAAAAUAGAGUAAAUAAAAUAUAUAUUCAUUAAAAACACAAAAUCUUGCUCUGUACAAUUUUUUUCUUAACAAAGUCACAUUAAUCUAUCUCUGUCAUCCUGGAUAAAAUUUCACAAUUACACUCCAACUCGCCCAGUCAAUUCAAUCUCCUCUUAAAAUACUUCACAACUCACCGAGUCAAAACUCGCUCUCACCACCGAGUCAAUCAUCCUCUCUCUUAAACAUGAGUCUCCUUGCUAUCUCCUCACCCCUGACCCCAGCAAUUUAAGUACAUAACUCGUCGAAGAGAAUCAUCAUUUUGCCUCACUCCUCCUUCUAAUCCACAACUCCCAAAAACUCCACCACAAUCCGAUUCAACUGAACCAGCAAGUGGCCGGAUCUCCGUGGCAUCUCCUCGGGAGAACACCCUCAUCUUACCUUGUUGCAGUGAUUUUAAGUUGGAUUUCCACCCUUGAUCAGGGUGCCUAACUGCAGCCACGGUAGCUGCCACCCAAACUCUGUUCAAAUAACUCAUUUUCCAGGCCUUUCUGAUGUAUCGGCAGAAAAAAUUACGGUGGGAGGAAUUUUAAGUUUGCUUGAGUGCUUGGAGGGAGGGCUGGGUGUGUGGCUUUAUAGAGAGAAAAGUGCUUGUGGUUUUUGUAAAACAGGAAGUGGUUUUCUUUGAUAAAGUGGUUUGGGAUAGGAAUCAUUUAGUGGUGGGCCUGAGGAUCGAGGUUUGAUGUUUUGUACAGAAGUGAAGUUUUUAUCACGAGAAAUUGUGUAUUGAUGUCCUUGAAAUUUUCAAAUGUCUAAAAACUUUUGUAUUUUUUCUAUAUAUUUUAAUGAGAUUUUAUUUUGAAUGAGUAUAAUUAUUUUUU